RNAcentral lists this long non-coding RNA (84029 nucleotides) under Populus trichocarpa (black cottonwood). Its description in RNAcentral is "long non-coding RNA (PTRI_LNC003869)". Lineage: Eukaryota; Viridiplantae; Streptophyta; Magnoliopsida; Malpighiales; Salicaceae. The record is from RNAcentral.
UUUCUUCUCCCCUGCCUGAUUGCAGAGUGCAGUUAAUUUGAAAAUCAUCAAUCUCAGCAACUCACUAAACCUGUCCAGGACUCCAGAUCUUACUGGAAUUCCAAAUCUCGAGAGUCUGAUUCUUGAAGGUUGUACAAGUUUGUCUAAGGUCCAUCCAUCACUUGGAAGUCACAAGAAUCUUCAAUAUGUGAAUCUUGUGAAUUGCGAAAGUAUUAGGAUUCUCCCAAGCAACCUUGAAAUGGAAUCGCUUAAAGUUUUCACUCUUGAUGGCUGCUCAAAACUUGAGAAGUUUCCAGAUGUACUAGGAAACAUGAACUGUUUGAUGGUGCUUUGUUUGGACGAGACUGGUAUUACAAAACUAUCUUCAUCGAUUCGUCAUUUGAUUGGCUUAGGUCUAUUGAGCAUGAAGAACUGCAAGAACCUUGAAAGCAUUCCGAGUAGCAUACGUUGUUUUACCAUGCUUGAAAGAUACCUCCAGGUCUUCUCUUAAUCAUACCCCAACCUCUUUGUAUCUCUCUCUCUCCCCUUCUCUCCAUCUAACAUUUUGGUUUUUCAUGGUAUAGGGUUUGUCUAAUCCAAGACCUGGAUUUGGUAUCGCUGUUCCUGGAAAUGAAAUUCCAGGCUGGUUUAACCAUCAAAGCAAGGGAUCUUCAAUUAGUGUGCAAGUGCCUAGUUGAAGCAUGGGGUUUGUUGCGUGUGUUGCAUUCAGUGCAAAUGGAGAAAGUCCUUCUCUUUUUUGUCAAUUCAAAGCCAAUGGAAGAGAGAAUUAUCCUUCGCCGAUGUGUAUUAGUUGUAACUCUAUCCAAGUUCUGUCAGAUCAUAUUUGGCUAUUCUAUCUAUCUUUUGAUUACCUUAAAGAGCUUAAAGAAUGGCAGCACGGAUCCUUUAGCAACAUUGAGCUGUCAUUUCAUUCUUUCCAGCCAGGAGUAAAGGUGAAGAAUUGUGGUGUCUGUUUGUUAUAUUCUCCAUCAUCUCAAUCUUCUGCCCAUUUUAUUGUUGCAAGCAAAGAAGCAUCUUCUUCAUAUAAAGCUUCUUUAUCGGUGUCUUCAUCUUACCGUCAAUGGAUGGAAGAUCUUGUGAUAAAAAAAAAGUGGUUCGCUGUUUAUAGAACACACAAGCGAAUAAGUUGUUCUGCCUUAUUUAAGCAACAUGAGCAAUGACUUAUGACACCCAAAAAAGAUCUUCAUUGAUGUUUUCUCAUUCACCACGAAGAAUCAGGGCUGUCAAUUAUUAUAUUUGCAAGAGAUUGUGCUUCUUUACCUUGGUGCUUUGACGAACUUGUCAAGAUUGUCGGAUUCAUUGAUGAAAUGAGAUCGGACACUGUGUUUCCAGUUUCUUGUGAUGUUGAACAAUCAAAGAUAAAUGAUCAAACAGAGAGUUACACAAUUGUCUUUGAUAAGAUUGGAAAAAAUCUCAGGGAAAACGAGGAGAAGGUACAAAGAUGGAUGGAUAUUCUCAGUGAAGUUGAGAUUUCAUCUGGAUCGAGAUCAGCGGAAAGGUAUCAUUACUUUUAUUUUAUAUCUCGACGUAUCAACCACUUCAAGUAAAUGAAACUGGGAAUACUGAAAGAUAAGAACUUAAUGUCAACAAAGUUGGAAAAAUAUGAUAAAAGAUCAUAAUUUUUAUUUUUGACUUUCGAAUUGGACUAAAAUUUCUGUAGAUUAUUCCUAAGGCUUAGUUUUACCAUGCAGGGAUGGGGACAAGAAUGUCCAGGUUUCAGGUACUUUUUCUUCAGCUUUCAUGUAUAGCUUUGCUUGUGUAUCGUUUAAAACACAAGAUAAAAUCAUCUUAUUGUUAAAAUUGAAUUGCUGAAUAGACUAAGCUCACUCUAGUCAUACAAAGCAAUGGUUAAUGUACUUGAUACAAAGAAUAGGAAGCAAACAAACUGAACUAUGAAGUACAAAAUUCCAAAGUUAGCACAAAAAUAAAGAAAAAAAAUUAGGGAUGUAUCCCAGUUCAAUUGGUUGAGUAACAUAAUCUAUUGAUUUAAAAAAAAAAAAAAAACAUAAAGCAUUGCGCUACUCACCAUAGCAUAACCUCUAAGAAUUAAAAUCUCAAAAAGUUGUGCUAGGAGUAGCGCGCUCAACCUUUAAAUUUUUUAUGCUAGAGGUUUUGAUAUAUAUAUAUUUCUAAACAAAAAAAAAUUUAAAAUAUAUUGGUUAAGAAAAAAAUUUAAAAUUGUUCAAUGACUGUCUACAUUACAUAACAGAACAUCAAAUCUUUGAUGGGAUUUAAUCAAGUAACCUGAAAAGGUAGCCUCACUGGUGUCAUAAUAACAUUCACAGACUUAGCUUUCAUGGUAGUAGCUAUCUCUCAAGCAACUUUAUUUAUUAUUUAUUUCUUAAUUUCCUUUCCUCAAGUGAUCACUUGAAAAGAUAGCUAUGUGUUUUGAUUGAUGUAUAAUUGUCUUUAAGAACAUACCAUCCUUUUCAAUCUUCAUAGCUCAAGCUCAAGUAUUCAUUGCUGCCCCAAAAUGGAAAUCGAAUUCUUGUACAAAUAUAGUUUGAUAAAAAAAAAAGGUUAUCUUUGUUCGUUGCUUCUUCAUCAUCAUUGUCAUUAAAUGUUUCUAUCUUGAGUCUUAGAUUUUGGAAAUGUAAACAAAAUUCCAAGAUUAAUUUUUGUAUUGUUAUUUCAGGAAGAGUCAAGCCAAGAAGGUAGUUUGUAUUCCAGCACCAGCUGCUGCAAACAGCAGGUCUAGUGGAGAAGUAGUUCCAUCUGACUUGUGGGCAUGGAAAAAAUAUGGACAAAAACACAUCAAGGGUUCUCCUUAUCCAAGGUGUGUGUAUAUAUAUAUAUAUAUUAUAUGAAGUUGAUAAGAUUACAAAGAACAAACAGCUGGAUUUUUCAGUUCUCUAUUCUCUCUAACAAAUUAUAUCAUUGCCUGGAAAAAUGUUUCUUGAUUUAAUUCUUCUUCUUCUUAUUACCCUGAAUAUAUUUUUGCUUAGUAAUGCCCUGAAAAAGUUCUGGUGAACCCAAGUAAUGCUUCCCGAGACACUGAGCUCAAACAGUUUGUUGUUCGGUGCAUAAACAACAUUUUAAGCAUUGAUUGACUGGUUGUAACUUGCAGUGCUAGUGUUGAUGAAUGUGUAUGCACUAUUGUUCUUUGAGCUCAACAGCUUCAAGAGUUCCCAAUUUGCAUGCUCAAAUGAUUGGCAGGAAGUGAAUCCAAAACACUGAGUUUCUUAGCAUAUAAUAUUGUUGUGAACAAUUAGUGGUUUUCUUGUCAUCUUUCUGAUCAGUUUUCAGUUUUGAACUUUGAUUUUCUUUGAGUAAUUAUUAUUGUGAAAGUGGUCUGUAAAUGUUUGGUUAAGAAUUGCACUGAAUGUUAAAACGUAUUGUCUUUCCUUCCAGAGGUUACUACAGAUGCAGCAGCACUAAGGGUUGCUUAGCAAAGAAGCACGUAGAGCGGAGCCGAAAUGAUCCUAACAUGUUGGUCAUCACCUACAAUUCUGAGCAUAACCAUCCAUGGCCAACACAGAGAAAUGCACUUGCUGGCUCAACAAGGUCUCAGCCAACAAAGAGCAAUGCAGCUUCAAAGAGCUCCACAGGUGCUCAAGCACGAAAAACAGCAAAUACAAAGGAAGAUCAGAAGGAGAGUAGCAAUGAUACAUUGUCUCCUACCGAUAUUAUUGGUGGUAGCUCAACAGCAAGCGCAUCUGUUAAAGAGGAGUCUGAUGACAUUGAGAAGCAGAUGGAGAUGGAUGAUAAUGAAUUCAGUGAAGGGUUUUCUUAGAGUUACUGUUGGCGGGAAAGACCACUAGUGGUGACUUUUAAAUAACACACUGUUUUUAUUUCAAAAUAACAAGAAGAUUACAAGCUCUCAAACUCACCCACUCUUUCUCGUAUUUUCCACACACAUUGCAAUGCUUUCUUGAUGUCUAUUUAUAGACAUGAACGGUAGGACAGAAAGGAAAACCAGAGAACAUGCAGAAUAUAUUCCACCAGCUCAUCUUUCUACUUUUUACUAAAGUAGAUGAGUUGUUCCACUUUGUUGCUUUAAUGGAGUGGGACUACCUCACAUGGUAAUGUUCUAACAAUUGGUCCUUAUGAUUGAGGUUAUAGCAACAAAUUCUCUCAUGGUUUAUUUGCUUUCUAGUUAACUUCUUUGGUAAAACUGGAUCUGUGAUGUUUGCUAAGGACACAACUUUCAUAGACUUCAUCUAGAUGAUUAAUAUGGGGCAUAACUUUGACUAUCUUUUUACUUACUAGCAUCUUCAAACUUGUAAAAUUUAGAUGUUCAAGCCUUAGGUGCCAAAGUCACUCUUCAUUGUUGGUGAUGACACUCAAAUACUUUGCUGGAGCAUAUUGGAUGUUUAUAGGAAACAUCUUAUUCUUGAACAUCUUCACAUAGGCAAUUAAUCUCCUAUUAUAAUCUUCAAUUGUUAGAUUACAGUUCUUCAUAAGAAGAGUGUAACCUUUCUCUAGAAGUUGGCCUAUACUCAGCAAGUUAUGCUUAAUUGCUAGAACAUAAUAAACAUCUGCAAUGUAGCUAUGAUCGCCAUUCUUCAAACGAAUUGGGGUGUUGCCUCUUCUUUUCAUUGGAACUUUUGAGGUGUCUCCAAAAAUGACUAGACGUUUUACAGUUUCAUCUAGAUCUCCAAAUAGAUCUCGUUGACCACUCAUGUGAUUGUUAGCUCCAGAAUCCAAAUACCAUAUAUUUUUCUUGUUGUUAUCCAUUUUUGGGUUUCCACAAAAAAAAUUUGAAAAUGAGAAAAUACAAAAAAAAAAAUAUAUGAAAAAUAUUAAAAAAAAUCCAAAAAAUAAUAGGAGCGAGAAAAGGACUGGAAUGCUGAAAAAAGGACAAAAUUGGUUGAGAAGGUUCAAAAAUACAAAAUAUUAAAAUUUAACAGUAUAUUUUUUACUGAUGGGAGUCCUGUUGACAAAUAAAAUUCAAGUUGAGAAAGAAAAGUUUAAAAUCAAAUAUUUAUGGACUCAAGUAAAUUUUAUCUAAGGUUUAAUUGAAUUUAUGGAGGGUUUGAUUACAAGAAAAGAUUGAUUUUCAAAUCAAUUUAGGCUUUUAUUGGAAGAAAUUAAAGUUCUAGGGUCUAAUUAUAAUUUUGAAGAGUUGAUUUGGUCAAAUCAUAGGCUUAAUUGCAUAAUUAUUAAAUUUUGGUGGUCAAUUAGGGACUUAAUUGAAACAAUUCAAAACUAAGAACUAAAUCAGAAAAGGUGCUAAAAUUAAGGGGUCUAAUUACAAUUUUUCCGAGGGGCUUGAUUACAAAAUUACAAAAAAACAUCCAAGGACCAAAUCAGAAAUAUGCAUUUUGAAUUAGCAAACGGCGUCAUUUCCUUGAGAACUGUUGAUCACCUUCUUCAUCUGCAACGGUUUCGACAGUUAAUGAGCGCUAUCAAUGGAGCCAUUUCAACAACAAAAACAGCAGAUUGCUUCAGUUAUGGGGAAUGUUUCACGGCUACUAUUCCUCUACAUGCCGUUACCAAGUUGGACGUUGCACUGCAGGCCAUUCUUUGGCUUAUAAAAGCCAGAGAAAGACGAUGAAAUAAAGGGGAGAACGACAAAAGGAAAACGAGAACAAAGGGAGAAAGGAGAGGUGACAGUGGGGAAAAAAAAAGAAGGGGAGAGAGUCGCACCAUCACUGCCAACGCCAUCGUGAUCAGCUCAUCAUCUACUUCGUCCAGCAGCCACUGCCAUUACCCAUCACAAACGCACCAGCACUGCACAAAGGAGGGGAGAAAAAGAACGAGACAGGGGAAACGAGAGAGGAGAAAGAAGAACAGAGGAGAGAACACAGUGAGAAAUUCAGGAAAAACAAAAGAAGGGCGCAUGAGGAUAUAGAAACCAAAGAGCAAAGGAACAGCAGUAGGACAAAUCGAACGGCGAAGCCAAAACGCAAAGACAGCAGGGGAGGUUAACACCACCAUCGGUUUCCUUUCCCCAGAAGCAGGUAUGUUCAUGUCCUUUCUUCGCAACAAUUGACGCCAGUUUUGUCUAGAAAAACAAAAAGAAACAGGAGACGAAAGUAAGCCAAAAGAUCGCCAUUUCGUUUUUACUCUGUUAAUAACAGCUAUCUGCAAAAAACGAAGGAUGAACAGUGCGAAGGUAAUAUAAUUACACGCAUAGAAUUUUACGCGUGCAUGGCUUGGUCAACCCACAUGGGUGGCUGGGUCCAGCCCAGCCAUUUGGGCCGGGCUGGACCCAGCCCCAAAAAUUCUUGAAAAAAUUAUUUCAAAAAAGGCUGUGAUUUUCCGCAAAUAUUUCUAUUGUAUUUUAAUCAAUAUUGGUUUGUAUUUUUAUACUAUAAAAAUACAAAUUUGGUAUUAAAAUACUCGGUUUUCGUAAAAAAAUAAAAAAAUAAAAAUAAAAUAAAAUGUUUUGUUUUCAUGCAUACGGCUAAGUCUCUCAAAAAUAAAAAUAAAAAUCAUAUUGUAUUUUCAUACAACAAAGAAAAUUUCAAAAAAUAUGUAUUAGCAUGCAUUUUGACUUUAAUAACCAGUUUAUUAAAGUCACGAGAACUAGGCCAAUAUUUCAAAAAUUCCAAAAAAAUUAUUUUGUUUUCUUUUAAUAACUGGGGUUACGACCUUAUACGCAAGACGUAUUCUAGAUAUUAAAUUCUUUUAUUGACAUCAGAAUUACCCGUUAAGAUAAGGAUCUCCUUACCGAGGAGAACUUUUCUUAAACCAUAGAUGGACCACCAACUAGAAAACAUGACAAGACCUUAGAUUUUAUCAUACAAUAAAACAAUGCGGCUUACCUUAGGUAAGGCGUAUUUGGGGUGCUAACACCUUCCUUUUACACAACCAGUCCCCGUACCCGAUCUCUGAGACCAGUUAGGGUUCCUAGUGACCAAAAUACUAGGUAGUGACUCCCAUUCCAUUUUUCCACUAAUAAAAGACAAGAAUACCUUGUCUCCCUAUAUUUGCCGCAUUAGAUCAUAUUUUGAGGGUGUAUGUUUUCGCCGCGACGCCGCACACGUGCGACACUCCUGAUUCUCGCCUAGUCCUUGUUGGACUAAUAAUGCAACUGGUCCUCUUAUGGUGAUAUUAUUAUCUACAUAGUUGACUUCUCCUUCUACCUCUGAUGGAGCUUUUCUUCGACAUUCAAUGCUAUAGUGCCCAAAUUGAUUGCAUUUAUAACACUAGAUAUUUCUCUUGUCAUAGUUGUUAUAACUGCCUCCCCUUCCUCUAGGAGUAAAUGUUUGUUAUCCUCGACCUCCUCUAAUGGUGUUUCUACCACCUCUUCCUCUGAAUUCUGUGUUCCAAGAUCCUCUUCAUUGGAAUCGUUUAAAUCCCCCUCAGCUUUGUUGACCGCUUCCUUGAGUGGUAUAUCCAAUUGUUGAAAUCUCCCUACCCUCCUUGAGAGAUAACUUUGAUUGUAAGGCAUGUUCAAUUGCCUUAUCUUUUUUUACUAUCUUUUGUUCAUGAGCUUGUAAAGAACUCAUAAGCUCAUCCAUUGUCAACUUGUCCAAUUCUUUGGAUUCUUCAAUAGCGACAAUAACAAAAUCAAAUUUUGAAUUUAGGGAUCUCAAAAUUUUCUCAAUAAUCCGAGCAUCUGAAAGGGCUUCUCCAUUUCUUCUCAUGUGAUUGACUAUCACCAUAAUUCUCGUGUGAUAUUCAGAAAUAGAUUCUAAUGACUUCAUUUGUAAUUAUUCAGAUUCACCUCGCAAAGAUUGAAGAAGAAUCUUCUUGAUUCUGCCAGCACCUUUAUAUUUUUGUUGAAGAGCCUCCCAUAUUUCUUUUGAUGUUUCUGCGGAAACUAUGAUCUCAAAUGUGGCUUCAUCAAGACCUUGAUAAAUGAUAGUCUUUAUUGUGUUGUCUUUCUUUCUAUGGGCUCUCAAGACUUGUUUUUGUGUCUCUUGUAAUGAUUCUUCUGCUUUUUUGGACUCUGAUUCAUCAUAACCAUAUUCCACAAUCUCUAUACACUCUUGAGAACCAUGAAAUGCCUUCAAUCUUAUAAACCAAUUAUCAUAGUUGUUUUUGGUCAGCUUUGGGAUAAGUGUUUGUGCAUUUUCUGUAGUCAUUUUAUUCUUUAAAUGACUAUAUCACUUUAUGGGAGUUGAAUUUGGCAAAACGGACACUGUAGAUGGUUUCAGAAUGCCCACAAAUGUAGGGUCAGAAAUAAGGUGAACCGGUCCAAGAAACGAUUUUGGAUGUCGAAGGGUUUGCUGCAGUUGAACUGGGAAUAUUCUGGGAAUGUUUGUUUGGCUCAGAUCGGCUCGGUUGGCGGUUAAGCGGCUCGGUUAGGGUACAACUUAGGAGGCUCGGCGCGACUCAAAUAUGAUGUGCGUGUGGCUUAGUAGUCUUCUUCCUCUGAGCGCGUCGGAUGCGCGUGGGCUACAGUGCUGGAUUUUCAGGAGGCGCAUGUGAGACACCCCUUGCUCCAAUGAAUCUAAUUUUUGUACCGAUAAGUUUGUAUAGAUGAACUCUACACCGUAGAAUGGUCAAAAUGUGUUUUGGACAAUUUUGAAAAUUCAGGUAUAUCCUAGAAACUCCUCUAUUUUCUGAUCAACGAGGCUCUGAUACUAAUUGUUGGUGGGAAAGACAAUUGGUGGUGGCUUUUAAAUACUUAGAAAAGAUAAAACACACUGUUUUUAUUUCAAAAUAACAAGAAGAUUACAAGCUCUCAAACUCGCCCACUCUUUCUCUCAUGUAUUUUCCACACAUUGCAAUGCUUUCUUGAUGCCUAUUUAUAGACAUGAACGGUAGGACAGAAAGGAAAAACAGAGAACAUGAAGAAUAUAUUACACUAGCUCAUCUUUUCAAGUGGAAAAAAUUAUUCAAGCACAACCUCCACCCUCUCCUCCCUCCCUUUGGUCAAUCAUGUGGGCAUUCCUUAAAUUAAAAAAAUAUAUAGACAUACAUGCUUUUAUUGCAUUGAUGGGAAAUAAAAUGGAAGAAGAAGACAAGAGUAUGUAUAUAAUUAUAUUUGUUUGAUGUUGUUGUUUAGAAUUUUUUUAAAUUUUUUUAAAAAAUAUAUUAAAAUAAUUUUUCUUUAAAAAUAUCACUCAAGAUUUCAAUAAUCAGUGAAGAUAUUAGAUUAAGCUUAAAUUAUUUAAAAAAGUUUAAUAGACUCGGUUUUAAAAUAUAUUGGUUUAUUGUAAUCAUCCAUGAUCAGAAAGCCUUCAAAUUUGGCACCAUUGAAUUAAAAAAAUUUCGAAGUUUAUGCUGCUGAGCUACUCCAAGCAACGCAAUCUUUGAGAAUGUAGCGCAACUUAUUGAAAUUUAAAAUUUCAACAAGCUGCGCUACUCCUAAGGACAACCACCAAUAGUGUAUUAUUUUUUUCACGCAUGCUACUUUGCAAAAAAAAAUGUUGUCACGUGUGCUAUUUUGUGAAUAACUCUAAGAAUAAUGAUCAACUUACGGGAAAAAAAAAACAAAAAAAUGAUUAGUGCAUGUAAUUUUCUAGUAAUUACACCUUAAAGUCUAGCAAUAUCUAGGUUUCUUCUUCUUUUUCGUUUUCUUAUAAGCGUCUGUCGUAGGUUUGGCACAUAACAUUAAAAAAAGUAAGCACAACUUUUUUUAAUGUUAUGUAUUGUAGACUGCAUGACUCUUUCACAAUAACGCACUCACAUUUCUCAUCACUGUGCAGAACGUGUUUAGGCUGUUGAAACUUUAGAUCAUAAUCGCUUGCCCUUUUAUCUUAAGCUGAUUUAAUACAUUUCUCCCAAUUUCAUUUGUAGCAUGGCAAGUUAAAAAAUCUAAUUAUCUUCGAUCCCCACUGAAACCCUUACCUGGAUGUGGAUCCUGAUUCAUACAUGACUCCAUUUCCAACUGUACGCAUUAUUUGCCCACAAAUAGUAAACUUUAAUUUCUAAUUGUCAUUGUUGUGAGUGUACUGAAGUUGAUGUGAAGGACUUAUUCAAACAUGAUACUAGAGGAAAUUAGUUCUUUACUUGAAGGCUGGUUGGAGUAUAUCCUUAUCAUUAGAUUGUUUUUUUUAAAAAAAAAAUAGUGAAGAAAGAUUAGCUCUGCUACUGCGUCACUAGCUAAAGAAAGUGCAUAUUAUUUGGGAUUUGCUCCUCUCAAAUCACAACUUAAUAUAAUUCAUCAUGUUGGAAACAUUCUAGCUUUUGAAUUCAUAUUAAUGUCUGGUGGACCCCCACGAUUAUUGUUUUGGUGUUGAUGAAAAGGUUUGGCCAUUGAAAUUAGGUUUGCCCCGACUGAUGUGGAGCUUGUGCUUUACUACUUGAAGAGGAAGAUAUGUGAGAAAGGUUUUGAGCUUGAUAUUAUUCGCGAUGUUGAUGUUUACAAGUGGGAUCCUGAGAGUUACCUGAGCUAUCCCCAUUGGAGAGCGACUGGCAAUGGUACUUCUUCAGUCCAGGGGAUAGGAGAUAUCACACUGGAGCAAGGUCAAAUAGGGCAACCCGACAGGGGUGGUGGAAAGCUACAGGGAGAGAUCGCAGUACUGUGUACAAUUCUCGAAAAGUUGGAGUUAAAAAGACCUUGUUUUCUAUAGAGGUCGUGCACCAAGAGGAGAGCGAACUGAUUGGAAGAUGCAGGAGUAUACUUUGUGUGAAGAAGAACUCAGGGGACGGGCAAAUGUGCAGGAGUUUUAUGCCCUUUACAAGCUUUGCAAAAAAGGUGAAAUGGAUUUCAUGGAAAUUGAUCUCGGUCCACAGCCUAAUUUCUCCGAGACGGUGUGACGUAGGACACAAAUCCCAGCUAAAUUAUUUAAAUUGUAAUAGUUAUUUAAUUGUUAAUUUUCUUUAGGAUUUUUUAGUUUUAUUUAAUUAGGCAUGUGGUUUCCCUAGGAAAUUAGUAAUAAUUCUAGAGUGUUUUUUUUUCAUAUUCGGUUUUUUUUGGACUUUCCAAAAUCACCAAUCAUCCUGCUGCUCUCCUUAGUGAACUUGUAUCACUUUCCCAAUGACAUGCUCGUUUUGGUCACCCAUCUUUAAAACUUGUCAAUUGAAUAAUGUCUCGGCAUCAUCUGCUAGUCACAACCGAGCUCUCUCCUGUGGUUUAUCAUGCAUACUAACUUGGUAAGAGUCAUUGUCUUCUGUUAUGAAUUGUUCAAUGGUACUGAGGGUAUAAGAUAAGUCUGACAUAAAUAAGGAAUGAGAGAGGUUUUUCAUGAGAGGUAGUUGUCUUUGGUAAGUUCAAUUUUGGAAAGAGUAGUGGUAGAGGAUUGUGGACGGGAGCAGAGGUUGUAGAAUUAAAGGAAGACAUUGGAAGAAGAUAAGACCAGUUUUGCUCUAAUACCAUAAAGAGUUUCAACGUUUUUGGAAAUUGCUUUGAUGUCUUUUGGAUGCAUGAAGUAUUAUUAUUUAUAGAUUAGUUUGCGACAUCAAUGAUCUGUACAUGGAAUACAUUUUGAAAUUUAAAUUAUGCGGCUGUGUACAUUAUCUUCGGUUUUAAAGGUCAUCUUCAACAUAUUUGAAUGUGUUGUCAUCUACAUGAUAUUCGACUAGUUUGGAAGUUGAUUGAGCAGAUUGUUUCUAUUGGAUGUGUGCUUGAUUUUUGGAUGCAGUUGUUGCUUUGCUUUCUGCAAAAUUGGUUGUUAAUCAAGUAGAUGAUUGUGACUUAAUUGAUGGUGCAAACCCUGGUAAAAAAAAACAAAUAUCGGUAACAUUACUGAGUAACAGUAAGAAGUCUGUAAAAGAAAUAAAAAGAGGGUUUGAUGUAUUAAGAAGUUUAAGAGUUAAAGUGUUCUUUUGAAGAAGGAACAAUUGGGCUUGGAGGGAAAUGUGGAGGAGAGCUUGAUUCAAUUUGUUUUGGAUUUUAAUUUUUUAUUCCGUAAAGGUAAGAAAACUCUCUUCCAUGAUGUUUCAUUGUGUUGUUUUUUAUGUUUGUUCUUGAAUUGAGAAGAAUUGGUAUUAUGUAAAGUGGUUCAAGACCUGUUUGGAAAUUUGAUUUAAAAAAAAAAAAUAAUUUUUUAUAUAUUUUUAAAUUGUUUUGAAGUGUUUAUAUCAAAAUUAUUUUUUAAAAAAUAAAAAUAAUUAUUUUUAUAUAUUUCUAAAAAAAAAUACUUUAAAAAAUAAUAACUACUAUAUUUUCAAUCACUCAUGGUAAAAGGUUUGAGAUGAGAUAUUGGUAAUGGGAGAAAAAUUGGUGUUUGGGAUUUGUAAAAAUCAAAGAUGGGCUGUUUGUGAUAAAAAUAUUAAAGUUUGAGAUUCUUAAAUUCAAUUCAAUAUGAUUUUUUUUUGUUUUUCGUUAAUUAGUUCCAGUUAAUAGGGUGGUACGUGGCUAAGUUUAUUUUUUUAUAAGAAAAAUAAUGGGAAUUUAUAAUAUUUAAUAUAAGAGUUCCAUAGUUAAUAGUUUGAAAAUUCAUUAAAAAAUACUUUUCAAUUGUGAUGUGUGUGGCCCAACCCCUGCUCUAGACAGGAAGGUGCCUCUGCUGUCCACUGCGCGUUCGAUACCCUUUCAUUUCUCUUUUUGUUUUUUCUCCACCGAAACUCCCAUCUUCUUUACAAUGUAAGAAAAAGAUCCGUAAGAGGUUGGAUUCUGUUUUGUUAUACAAGCACUAGUUUAUUAAACAUUAAAAAAAAAAACAUUAUUAUUAUUAUUAUUAUUAUUAGAAUUAAUAAAGAAAUAAAAGACCAUGAUAUUGUUUUACUAUAGAUAGAUCGAAGCCUAGAUCAUAUUUUUUUUUUUUCAAAACAUUGAUUUCAAUUUAAGACCGAUUAAAUUGGAUUGUAAUAGAUUUGAAGUUAGAAGCAGGUCUCCGGAAGAUAUUAGGACGAGUUUGAGGAUUUGUUUUUACUGGAAAUGAAGAAAAAAGGUGUUAGGAUGCACAUGGAUGGUGGCCCUUGAUUUUCUGACUAUCGAAGCGUUGUCGAGAAAACAUAGCACCACAUGUUCUUCCAAUAAAUGACGUGUCCUUUUCAACUUCUUGUUGUGGAUAUCGGAUUAAAAGUUACUUUUCAAUGGAAAAAAAAAAAGCGUGGGCACUGUCAACUUUUUUUAAGUUGAAGAAUUUUUUUUUUAUUGUGAAUAAAAAGAGUUGACGCAUGUUUUUAAUCAAAGCAAUCAGAAUUAUAUACAAUACAAAAAAUGUUAAAAUGCAAAUCAAAGAAUAAAUCUAGAAACUAGGUGAUAAAUACGGUUCAAAAUAUAUGAUUUCAUGUAGCCAAAAAAUUAACAAUUUAAGUUCUAUCAACAUAAAAUAAUUUCCUAGUAUGUUUAUCAGAAUGUUUAUUUUUUGAAGAACAAAAAGUUAUGAGAGUCAUAAAAAAAAUUAAUUAAAAAAAUAAUUAAUGGUUUUAUAAUUAUGCCAUGAAUGUAUAUUUUUUAUGUAAUCAUGCAGUAAUAAAAAAGUUGUGCGGAAAGCCAAAAAUCAAAAUUUAUUAUAGAGCCAACGGAAAUAAAGGUCGCGAAGAGGGUGAUGCCGCUGAUGGUUGGUUCUCUUCCUCCUUGUGACUUUUUGUGGACACGUUCGGCCUCGGACAUUGAGAUCGAGGCAGGUAAUUGCGUGGACUGGUGGAAGAAAAAUUGGGUUUUUCCUCUCGGAGUCUUCGUCUAUGCUAUCUUAUGGGUAGAAAGUGUCGGGGGAUGAGUGGCUGGGAUUCAUUCAUGAAUAGCGGCUUUAAGAAUUUUCAUUAUUGGACGGAUCGAGAACCUUUUUUAUGAGUUUGCAUUUGGUGUUCAAGCUAUGGUGGCUACAUUAUCCAAGAGGUUGGAUUCUGUUUUGUUAUACAAGCACUAGUAUAUUAAAAAUUAAAAAAAAAAUAGUAAUAAAAAAUAGAAUAAAAAUUAAAAAAUAAAUAAAUUAGAGUGUAACUAAGUUUUUUCAAUUGAAGGGUUAACUGAAAAGAAAAAUAACUUGAACAAAAACAAAAAUAAAAAAUAAUGAGGAUAAAAUUGAAAAAAAUAACACACCAUAAACUUGGAUUGAAUAGUGAGAUUAAAAGCCAAUAAAACUUUUAUAAAAGAGUUAAGGGAAAAAAAAAAAGAAAUCCAAAGAAUAUAGACCAAAUAAAAAAAGGAAUAUGUGAAAAUUCAAAAUCGAAGGAUUAAAUUGAAAAGAAAUAACACUUAUAUAAAAGGGCAAAAGGAAACAAAAAUAUAAAUUGAGGACCAAAUUAAAAACAAUAAAAUAAAAUAAAUUUGGAUUGAAGGAUGAAAUUGAAAAAAAAAGUAUCAUAAAAGAGUCAACUAAAAAAACUAGAAAUAAAAAAAAAAAACCAAAUUGAAAAGUAUAAUAUAUUAUAAAUUGGAAUUGAAGGAAUAAAUUAAAAAGAAAUAAAACUUUUAUUAAAGGCUCAAUGAUGAAAAUAAAAAAAUAAAAGAAGAAGGACCAAAACAAAAAUACAAAAAACAAAAAAACCAAUAUGCAAUUUUUGGGGGGCAAUAAAAAGAAAAGAUCUACUAACAACAAACCUAUAAUAAUUGAAUUGUUGACGAGAGGGAAAGAGGUGAUUGUAGAGCGGUUGUUGGGGCUGCUGGUAUGGGUGGUGGAUGUUGUGGUGGUUUGAUAUGGCUAUUUGGGUUGGUGUGAAGGAGUGGAGUUGUUGCAACGAUGACAGAGGGGCUAGUUCAUUGGUUAAGGUUUCUGACAAGGUGAGGGCGAUCAAGAAUUGAGGUUUUUGUAUUGAUAGAAAUGCAGAAAAAACUCCAAUCUUGAAAGCAAAAAAUGACAUCACUAGUAGGAAAGGAAGUGUUAUUGAAAGCUAUGGCGGCGGCAAUACUAAAUUGCAUGAUCUUGUGUAUCUUAUUCCUUACUAGUUUUUAAUUGGAAACUUAUAAAUCUAUGGAAAAUUGAAAGGCGCACCGGAGAAGUUGGAAAUAUCCGUUAAAAUCAAAGCUUACGACGACAUAAGUUUUAAAGAAUUUGAUUAUUUCAAUAAGGCCUUUCUAUAAAAGUGCUUAAAGAGAUUCGAAUCAAUAUCCCAAAAAGUUGGAUUGGGAAAGCGGUUUCAGACCGUUUGGAAAUUUGAUUUUUUUAAAAAAAUAAUAAUUUUUUUAUAUUUUUAAAUUGUUUUAGCAUACUUUUAUCAAAAUUAUUUUUUAAAAAAUUAUUAAAAAAAUUAUUUUAAUAUAUUUAAAAAAACACACUUUAAAAAAAUAACUACCAUUAUACAUCCAAGCACCCUUGUUAAAAGGUUUGAGAUGAGAUAUUGGGAAUGGGAGAAGAAGUGGUAUUUGGGAUCGGAGAGGAAUUAAAGUUGGGUUGUUUGUGAUAAAAAUAUUAAAGUUGGAGAUUCUAAACUCAAUUUAAUAUGAUUUUUUUUUUUGUUUUUCGUUAAUUAGUUCCAGUUCAUCGGGUGGUGGCUAAGUUUAUUUAAAAAGAAAAUCAAUGGGAAUUUAUAAUAUUUAAUGUAAGAGUUUUGUAGUUAUUAGUUUGAAAAUUCAUUAAAAAAUACUUUUCAACUGUGAUGUGUGUGGCCAAUGCGCGUUCGAUAUCCCUUUCAUUUCUCUUUUUGCUUUUUCUCCACCGAAACUCCAUCUUCUUUACAGUGUAAACUUACCAGUACGAGUUCUUGACCUCAAGGAACCGGAAAAAAAUUCGACGUCAUUGGGCUUGGCUAGAUCUUGUGCCUCUUUAGCCAACACUUACCACACGGUUUGUUUCGUCUAGAUUCGUGAAAUACUCGUAGAAAUUUGGUGUUUUCUGAUUUCUAAGUAGAAUUAUACAUGUUCCAGCUUGAAAUUGCUAAUUGGUAGAUUUAAUUGCCGAAUUUCUUGAUCUUACCUUCUGUUUCAUGUUUGACCACAGGAGCAGGCCUUACACAAAAUAGCGUGGAAAGCAAUUGCUGAACCAAGCGAGCUAGUUGAGGCCAGAAGGGAUCGGUACUAGUUUAUCGCUAUUGGGAUUUUCAUGGCUUCCAGCAGCAUGCAAGGAAUAACCUCAUCUUCAUCUCCUCCUCCUCCACUAUAUAUGCAUGAUGUGUUCCUUAGUUUUAGAGGCAAAGACACGCGGAACAACUUUACUAGUCAUCUAUACUCUAAUCUGAAACAGAGAGGCAUCGAUGUAUACAUGGAUGAUAGGGAGCUCGAGAGAGGAAAGACCAUCGAACCUGCUCUCUGGAAGGCCAUCGAAGAAUCAAGGUUUUCAGUCAUUAUAUUUUCAAGAGAUUACGCUUCUUCACCAUGGUGCUUGGAUGAACUUGUCAAGAUUGUUCAGUGCAUGAAAGAGAUGGGUCAAACUGUUCUGCCAGUUUUUUAUGAUGUGGAUCCCUCAGAGGUAACCGAGCGGAAACGGAAAUAUGAGGAAGCCUUCGGUGAGCAUGAACAAAAUUUCAAGGAAAACUUGGAGAAGGUCCGGAACUGGAAAGAUUGUCUCUCUACGGUGGCCAAUCUAUCUGGCUGGGACAUCCGGAAUAGGUAAAUCAUCUAUCUACUUAUUCUUAUUCUCAAAUCUGCCCCCUGUAUUGUUUCAUUGAUGAACAAGCAUGAUAGUAAAUGUGUAUUUUUUUCAUAUGCAUGAAUUUUUAUUUUUAUUUUUUUAUGAUAUUUUGAACUGAUGUGAUCAAGCAUUUCUAAUCUUUAUAUAAAACUUCUUUCUAUUCUUAGGUUUUUCUUUAUAUUUUGAAAAUAAAAUAAAAUAUUAAACAGAAAAAUUAAAAUGUAUAAAAAUGUUGAAAAACAAAUCUAGCAUGAACAAAUAAAAAGUUAGCUUAAAAAAUUAAAAAUGGUGAAGAAAUGACAACAAAUUCAUCAUAAGAAAUAAAAAAUUGGCCAAAGUUUUUGAAUAUGUUGGUUUUAGCUUUUCAAAAUAAAAUAAAGAGAUUUUCCAUCAUGAAUUAAAAAAUUCAAACUAUUUAUAAAUCAAAGAGACAAAUUUAUUUAUAAUUUUUUUUGUGAAUAUUUUUAUUUUUUUUUAUUUGGAAUUAAAAUUUUAUAGGUUUCUUUCUUUUACUAAUGCAUUGUAACAAUGAAUUUACUAAUUUUUCAUUCUAAAAAAAAAUAAACUACUUAUUAGGGAUAACAGGGUCUUUUAUAAGGGUCAAUAGUCAUUAUAAAAUUAAUAGGGGUAGUUAGGUAUUAUUUUUUUACGGUAUAAUUACUUAGUUGCCUUUGGGGCUCUUUUAAGAUUUUUCACUUUUCAGGGUGCAAUAAAAUAACUUUAUUUCCUUUAAAAUUAAAAAUGAAGUACCUUGCCUUCAAGGGCUUAUUCAUGCUUUUUUUUUUCUUUUUUUGUAAUAAAAAAAGAAGAAAAGUGGCUGGCUUGUUUGUAGAACACACAAGCGAGGAAGUUGUUCUGUUUUAUUUAAGCAACACGAGCAAUGGCUUUUGGCACCUAAAAAAAGCUUUCAUUGAUGUUUUCUGAUUCACCAUGACAUGAUCUAUCUCCCUGAGUGGCAUGUGUGGAGUAAUUCUUUCUGGUUUGUCACCAAAUGACCUUUUUCUUUUCUUUUCUUUUGUCUUUAUCCUUGAAUUCCGCACCCGACCUUCUAAACUUGUAUAGUAACCCUUCAAUUUGGUUUUUUUUUUUUCAUAUUUGGUCUUUUUUUUUAAUUGAUAUUUUUUUAUUUGAAUUAUUUUUAGAAUUGAAAUUUGUUGUUAAUUUUAUACUUUUUUAAUUUUUUAAUCUAUUAGAUUUGAUUCUCAUUCUUUUGAUUACUAUUUAUUUUAUGUAAGAUUAUUUUUAUUUUAUUUUUUUAACGAUUUCAUCCUUCAUUUUUUAUUGUUAUGUUUUUUUUACCUUGGCAAGUUAUAUAUAUAUAUAUAUAUUUCUGAUUUUAUACUUUAACAUUGAAUUAAGCUUUUUGGUUGAGUCUGGAUUUAGGAUUUCAUAUUUUAAAAAGCAACUGGAUGUUUUCAGUUUAUUCUUUCCUUUUCCUCUCUGUUCUUGAAGUUAUCUAUUAUCAGGGCCCUAUUUUUCUCAAAGGUUGGUGUAUUAAUUUCCGGCUAACAGCCAUACAUUUUCGAGCUACAAUAUGUUAAUGUUUAUUUUCCCAUUAUCACUAUCUGAUUUGAUUUCUGCACACUGCAUGAUUAAUGUUUUGCACCCUCCUAUGCAGGAAUGAAUCGGAAUCAAUUAAAAUAAUUGCUGAAUACAUAUCGUACAAACUAAGCGUCACUAUGCCAACAAUUAGCAAAAAAUUAGUUGGAAUAGAUUCUCGUGUAGAGGUAUUAAAUGGCUAUAUAGGUGAAGAAGGAGGCAAAGCAAUCUUCAUAGGGAUUUGUGGAAUGGGUGGCAUAGGUAAGACGACUGUUGCAAGGGUACUAUACGAUAGGAUUCGUUGGCAAUUUGAAGGCAACUGCUUCUUAGCAAAUGUCAGAGAAGUUUUUGCUGAGAAAGAUGGACCACGCCGUUUACAGGAACAACUUCUUUCUGAAAUCUUAAUGGAACGUGCUUCUAUAUGGGAUUCUUAUAGAGGGAUUGAGAUGAUAAAGCGGAGGUUACGACUUAAAAAGAUUCUUCAUAUCCUUGAUGAUGUAGAUGACAAAAAACAACUAGAAUUCUUUGCUGCGGAGCCUGGAUGGUUUGGUCCAGGGAGCAGAAUUAUCAUAACAAGCAGAGAUACAAAUGUGUUAACUGGAAAUGAUGAUACUAAAAUUUACGAGGCUGAAAAAUUGAAUGAUGAUGAUGCUCUUAUGUUAUUUAGCCAGAAAGCUUUCAAAAAUGACCAGCCUGAUGAAGAUUUCGUGGAACUAUCAAAGCAAGUUGUGGGUUAUGCUAAUGGCCUUCCACUUGCUAUUGAAGUUAUAGGUUCGUUUUUGUAUGCAAGAAGUAUCCCUGAAUGGAGAGGUGCAAUUAAUAGAAUGAAUGAGAUUCCUGACGGCAAAAUUAUUGAUGUGCUUCGCAUUAGUUUUGAUGGUCUCCAUGAAUCAGAUAAGAAAAUAUUUUUAGACAUUGCAUGUUUCCUGAUGGGGUUUAAAAUUGAUCGAAUAACAAGGAUACUUGAAAGCCGUGGAUUCCAUGCAGGUAUUGGAAUACCAGUUCUUAUUGAGAGAUCUCUCAUAAGUGUCUCUCGGGAUCAAGUCUGGAUGCAUAAUUUAUUACAGAUAAUGGGUAAGGAAAUUGUUCGUUGUGAAUCCCCUGAAGAGCCUGGAAGGCGCAGUAGAUUAUGGACAUACGAGGAUGUCUGCCUUGCACUGAUGGACAGCACAGUGAGUAGCUGAUAGAGAACAUUAUCCAUAAGAUUUCAUGAAGUUUAUUUUAAUUUAUGCUCCAUCUCUACUUUGUAUUUGUUUUUUACUUGUAUUCCCCUUUUGAUUGACAGGGAAAAGAAAAAAUAGAAGCCAUUUUCCUGGACAUGCCUGGAAUAAAAGAGGCACAAUGGAACAUGGAAGCCUUCUCUAAAAUGAGCAAACUAAGAUUGCUCAAAAUCAACAACGUGCAGCUUUCUGAAGGACCUGAAGAUCUUUCCAAUAAGCUACGAUUUCUUGAAUGGCAUUCUUACCCUUCAAAAUCAUUGCCAGCUGGUUUACAGGUGGAUGAGCUAGUUGAACUUCACAUGGCUAACAGUAGGAUUGAGCAAUUAUGGUAUGGGUGUAAGGUGAGAUCACCUAAUUUAAGGGUCUUUGUAUUUCUUUUUAUCGUUUUCCUAUAUAUUUAUGAUAGUAGCAUCCAUAUUUCUUCUCCCCUGCCUGAUUGCAGAGUGCAGUUAAUUUGAAAAUCAUCAAUCUCAGCAACUCACUAAACCUGAUCAAGACUCUAGAUUUUACAAGAAUUCCGAAUCUCGAGAACCUUAUUCUUGAAGGGUGUACAAGUUUGUCUGAGGUCCAUCCAUCACUUGCACGUCACAAGAAGCUUGAAUAUGUGACUCUUAUGGAUUGUGUAAGUAUUAGGAUUCUCCCUAGCAACCUUGAAAUGGAAUCACUUAAAGUUUGCAUUCUUGAUGGAUGCUCAAAACUUGAGAAGUUUCCAGAUAUAGUAGGAAACAUGAACAAAUUGACGGUGCUUCAUUUGGAUGAGACUGGUAUUACAAAACUAUCUUCAUCAAUUCAUCAUUUGAUUGGCUUAGAAGUAUUGAGCAUGAACAACUGCAAGAACCUUGAAAGCAUUCCGAGUAGCAUACGUUGUUUGAAAUCCCUUAAAAAACUUGAUCUGUCUGGCUGCUCUGAACUUCAAAAUAUACCACAGAAUUUGGGGAAAGUUGAAGGUUUGGAGGAGAUUGAUGUAAGUGGAACUUCAAUAAGACAACCGCCAGCAUCCAUUUUUCUUUUAAAGAGUCUUAAAGUAUUAUCUUUGGAUGGAUGCAAAAGAAUAGCUGUGAAUCCCACGGGUGACAGGUUGCCUUCUUUGUCGGGUCUUUGUUCUUUAGAAGUACUAGAUUUAUGCGCUUGCAAUCUAAGAGAAGGGGCACUUCCUGAAGAUAUUGGCUGCUUAUCGUCAUUAAAGUCUUUAGAUCUGAGCCAAAAUAACUUUGUUAGCCUGCCUGAAAGCAUAAAUCAGCUUUCUGGACUUGAAAUGCUUGUCUUGGAGGAUUGCAGGAUGCUUGAAUCAUUGCCUGAGGUUCCAUCAAAAGUUCAAACAGUAAAUUUGAAUGGUUGUAUACGCCUAAAAGAAAUUCCAGAUCCGAUAAAGCUAAGCAGUUCCAAAAGAUCAGAGUUCAUAUGUCUUAACUGCUGGGCAUUGUACGAGCAUAAUGGCCAAGACAGCUUUGGGUUGACGAUGCUUGAAAGAUACCUCAAGGUCUUCUCUUAAUCAUACGCCAACCUUUUUGUAUCUCUCUCCCUCUCCCUCUAUCUAUCUAACGUUUUGUUUCUUCAUGGUACAGGGUUUGCCUAAUCCAAGACCUGGAUUUGGUAUCGCUGUUCCAGGAAAUGAAAUUCCAGGCUGGUUUAACCAUCAAAGUAAGGGAUCUUCAAUUAGUGUGCAAGUGCCUAGUUGGAGCAUGGGGUUUGUUGCGUGUGUUGCAUUCAGUGCAAAUGGUGAAAGUCCUUCUCUUUUUUGUCAUUUCAAAGCCAAUGGAAGAGAGAAUUAUCCUUCGCCGAUGUGUAUUAGUUGUAAAGCCCUUCUCUUUUCAGAUCAUAUUUGGCUAUUCUAUCUAUCUUUUGAUCAUCUUAAAGAGCUUAAAGAAUGGAAGCAUGAAUCCUUUAGCAACAUUGAGUUGUCAUUUCGUUCUUGCCAGCCUGGAGUAAAGGUGAAGAAUUGUGGUGUCUGUUUGUUAUCUUCUGUAUGUAUUACACCACGACCAUCUUCUGCCCAUUUUAUUGUUACAAGCAAAGAAGCAGCUUCAUCAUAUAAAGCUUCUUUAGCUUUUUCUUCGUCGUACCAUCAAUGGAAGGCCAAUGUUUUCCCUGGCAUCGGAGUCGCAAAUCCAGCCCAGAGAUUCAUUGUCCCAGUCAUGAAGGAACCAGAGAAAGUAAUGGCAAUUAGAUCAAGACUCUUUGAGGCCAUUGAAGAAUCAGGGCUGUCAAUUAUUAUAUUUGCAAGAGAUUGUGCUUCUUUACCUUGGUGCUUUGAAGAACUUGUCAAGAUUGUCGGUUUCAUGGAUGAGAUGAGAUCGGACACUGUGUUUCCAGUUUCUUGUGAUGUUGAACAAUCAAAGAUAAAUGAUCAAACAGAGAGUUACACAAUUGUCUUUGAUAAGAUUGGAAAAAAUCUCAGGGAAAACAAGGAGAAGGUACAAAGAUGGAUGGAUAUUCUCAGUGAAGUUGAGAUUUCAUCUGGAUCGAAAAGGUAAUAAUUACUUCUUCUUAUUUGUGUGUGUUGCUCGACUUAUCAACCACUUCAAGUAAAUGAAACUAGGAAUGCUGAAAUAUCGACUUUCAGAACUUAAUGUUAACAAAUCUGUUUUUUUUUUUUGCAUGGGAAAAACAGUACACAAUGGGGUUACAAGUUUUUUUUUCAAGGUACAUUAUGAAUUUUAAAAAAAUUAAUAUUAAACUCAGUUGAGUUUAUGGUCUGAAUUAAAUUGACAUGUUGUACUGUGGAUGAUAUUGUUUACUUUAUUUUUUUUUAAGUUUGUUAAAAAUUCAAAGGGAGAAAAGUAUUGAACCGGUUGAGUGCAUAAUCCAGGUCACAAGUUUUUUUGAAUGGUUGAGUAUAAAUUUAAGAAAAAAAAAUUUCAACCCAGUUGAGGUUUUUUUAUAAAGAUUCAUUUUUUGAUGGUGUUGUGUAUUUUUAAUUUUUGAAUUUGUUUUUUUAAAGUUGAAUAUAAAUUUAAGUGAAAACAAUUAUUGAACCUCAUUGAAUUCAUGGUCCGGGUCACAUAUUUAAUUUUUUUAAGGUUUAAGGAAAAAAAUAUUGAACCCGGUUGACUUCAUGAACUGAGUUACGGGUCUUAAGAGUUAAGCCACAAUAACCGGACAAUUUUUUUUUCUAAUGUUGCUUUUUUUUACUGAUAUCUUUUUUUAUAUAUCUUUUUUAAGAUAAUUUUCAAUUUAUGUUUCAAUUAAUAUCCCUCAUCUGUGAUUUGUUUUGUUUAUUUAAUCUUUUUUUUAAUAUAAAUUAUUUUUUGAUGGUGUUGUAUGUAUUUGUUUUUAAAUGUUGAAUAUAAAUUUAAGAGAAAACAAUAUAGAGUCUGGUUGAGUUCAUGAUUUGGGUCACAUGUUUAACUUCUUUUUUUGUUAAAGGUUGAAUAUGAAUUUAAAGGGAAAUCAAUAUUGAAACAGGUUGAGUUCAUGCUCCGGAUCACGGAUUUAACGAGUUAAACCACAACAAUGAAACAAUGUUUAUUUUUCUGAUAUUGCUUUUUUUUACUGAUAUUUUUUAUAUAUCUUUUUUAAAAUAUUUUUUAAAUUUAUGUUUCAAUUAAUAUUCCUCAUCUGUCAUUAUUUUUUUGUUUAUUUAUUUAUUUUUGGAUAAAUAUUGUUUUUUAUGGUGUUGUUCGUAUUUAAUUUUUAAAAAACUUAUUAUGAUUCAUAAAUAAUUUUUUGAUCUUUUUGUAUAAAAGAACUUUAUUUUAAAAAAUAAAAAAAAUUAUUUUCAUCUAACAUAAUAUGUACAACAACCUUGCAUAAUAUUUUUUCUAUUUUUAUUUUAUUUAAUCAAUUUAAUACGUGUGUUUAUUUUUAAUAUCAUUUGAUUGAAUAAAAAAAUAAAUUUUAAAAAAUAAAUUCAAAAAAUAUAAUUGGGUAAAUGUUCCGUUUAUUAACACAUUUGAAUUUUUUAAUUUUAUUUUUUGUUAUUGUUAAUAUAUUUUUAUUAUUAGUAAUUCACAUAGUUAUCAAUGUACAUGUAUGUAUGAGCUUUUAAAUUUACAGUUUAAAUUUUUUUAUGUAUAAAAUUGCAUCGAAAAAACAUGCAUGCACAACUUUUUUGUAAGAGAAAAAAAUAUCUUGUCUGUAAAAGAGUGUCAUCUUAUAGUGGGCCAUAACAAAAUGCUACAAUUGGAUUGGCUUGACUUAGUAGUCCCAACAACACCUGACCUUUGCUUUUUCUUCUUUUUUUCCUUUUAUAUGUUUUUUUUUAAAUUAUAUUUAGAUUAACAUCCCUUCUUUUUUUUAUGUUAUUUAGAGAUCCUCUUUGAAAUGAUGGUUAAUUUUUAGUUAUGCAUUUAAUUUUUGAGAAAGUUUUUCUGAUUCAUUUAUAAUUUUUUUAAUUUUUUGUACAGAUGAACUUUAUUCUUGAAAAUAAAUUUUUUUAUUUUCAAAUAAUAUUUCUAAUAUGUGCAACCUUACAUAUUAUUUUUUUUCAUUUCAUUUUAUUCAAUCAAUUUGAUGUGUAUGUCUAUUUUUAUUAUCGUUUGAUUGAAUAAAAAACUUGUUUUAAUUAAUAAAUUUAGUAAAUAUAAUCGCGUAAAUAUCUCGUUUUUCAAAAUUAAAUAUCUUAAUCUACACUUGUUUAUCGAUUUUUCCACUUUUAUUUUUAGUUAUAGUUUAUAGUUGUUUUUUUUACUUAUUAACACACAUAAUUCUUGAUUUACUUAAUUAUAUUUAUGCAUAUUUUUUUCCACUUAAAAUUUUUUAAAUACAAAAACAUGUUGAUAAAAAUCUAUCAAUAAAUUUUUUAUUAAAAUUUUUUUUUAACACCCAACAAAACAUGUAACAUCGAUUCCAUGUGCAGUUUGACUAUACCUAAGCUGCAGCAGCUGCUCAAGCAGGAGGAGCAGCUGCUCGAUCAGCUGGGGCAGCUCAAGCAGCAGAUGCUUGAUCAGCAGGUGAUGCUGCAGUGGUGGAAGCAGCUCAAUAAGGAGCAACUGCUCGAGGAGGAGCAGCUGCUCAAGCAGCAGGAGCAGCAGGUGCAGCUCGAGCAGCAGGUGCUCGAUCAGCAGGUGCUCCAGCAGUGGCGGUGGCAGCUCGAUGAGCAGGUGCUCCGGCACCAGCUCGAUGAGCGGUGGCGGCAGAUGCUCCGGCACCAGCUCGAUGAGCGGCGGCUGCAGGUGCUCCGGCGGCGGCAGCAGGUGCUCUGGCUGCAGCAGGUGGGGUUGGGGCAGGUGCUCCAGCUGCAGCGGCAGCAGCUGUAGCAGGUGCAGCGGCGGCACCAGUUUGAUGAGCGGCGGCAGGUGCUCCAGCUGCAGUAGGUGCAGCGGCGGCAGGUGCAGCGGCAGCUUGGUAGUGUGUUAGACCGAGGCGCGUUGAGUCUGGCAUUGACCAGACCCAAUAGAUAAUUGAAUUUAACACCAUAAACACUCCCUAGUCAAAGGUUUGAGAUGGAAUAUUUGCAAUGGGAGAGGAAUUAGUGUUUGUGAUCGGAACAUCAAAGUUGGGUUGUUUGUGAGAGGAAUAUUGAAGUUUAAUUUAUAAUUAAUUUAAUGUCAAAGGAUGAAAUUAAAAAAAAUAUAAAUAAAAAAAUCCUAGGUCAACCCGCUAAAUUCGCAACACGAGUCAUAAAGCUAAAAUAAUUUUAUAAAAAAAAACAUCAACAAAUUAUAAAACUCAAUCUUUAAAAAAUAAAAUGUUGAAAGAUAAAAAAAAACAUGUAGAUUUUUUUUUAAAAAAUACCAUUGCAAAUUUUAACUUGGUAAGAUUUUAUGUUAAUAGUACUAUAUUAGAUGAGUCCAGCUCACCAUAAGCUACAUGGAUGAAUAUGAGUUAAUGGUGAGUCGAGCUUGUAUAAUAAUUUAUGGGUAACAAAAGUUGUGCCCAGUAUUUCUAUAAUACGACGAGGUUUAAUUUCUUUUCUUUUCAUGGUUAUCUCUCAGUGGAUAGCAGCAUCAAUCAUAAGAACUUCUAUAUUUAUAUUUAAUUUAAAUACUAAUUAAACGUGAUAAGAGUGGGAGUUAAAUAUAACGCUUCACAUCAAAUGCUCUUGAAAAAACCAAAAUCUACUUCUUUUCAUUCUGGUUGCAUUCGCUUUCACCCCUGACUAUGAACAGGAACCCCAAUUAAAUGAAAUGGAUUUCUUGGAAAUUGAUCUCCUUGGUCCACACUCCACAGCAGAUAUCCGUGGCCUGCAGGAACCCCAAUCAAAUGAAAUGGAUUUCCUGGAAAUUGAUCUCCUUGGUCCACAGCCUAUUCGGUUAAACCAAGUCGGCUACCACUUGCAGCACAAUUCAUCAAAAGACGAUGUGAAUUAUGAUUUGACGUCAAACCAGGUGGAUUAUCAGCUGCAGCCACAAUUAUUUGAUGCAUAGCAAAAUAAUUAUUCAGAAUCACAGUACCUUGGCAGUCCUUUCCAGCCAACUUGAUGUGUUGUGUGCUAAUCCGAUGAAAAUCAAGAUCCCAAAGAGGGUGAUGCAGCUGAUGGUUGGUUCUCUUCCUCCUUGUGAGUUUUUACAUAAUAAAAUAGCGGCCUUAAUUACGAGAGUUCUUCCAUUUUUACAUGAAAAAUGGCUGGGAUUUCCUUUCGUUAUUUAUUAAUCUCUAUCACGACCACAAAAUUACUAAACGCCGACCGAAUAUGAUACACAAGUGCACUAAUUUUUUUUGGUUUAUUAAAGAUUAUUGGAGUGCAUCUUCCUUGGAUAAUUGUAGACUUUAUUUUCCUAAUUAAUAAAAAAGAUUUUUAUCCAUUGUGGUUAUAUCAUAUUCUGGUAGCUUUAAUGCUUUAUAAAUAAAGUAUUGAUCAUAAGAACUCUAUCAACCUUACUUUUUCUUGUUGUCAAUUUCAAUGGCCAGUGAAUCUAACUACAACAUCCGAAGAACAUAUUGCUUUAGUCAUAAUCUGGUCAUAGAUGAUUUCCCCAUCACAAGCUAUAAGUGCCUCUAUAGAGAACCCUAAUCCCUUCUCCAUGCUUCUUGACAGCCUCUUAAAAAAGGUUCAAGCUUGGGACUAAUGGGUUUGUUUCCUCUGUGGUCUAAGGUUCGAGUCCUGUGGUUGCUCAUAUGAUGGCCACUGAAGGCUUACAUGGUCGUUAACUUCAGGGCCCGUAGGAUUAGUCGAGGUGUACGCAAACUGGCCCGGACACCCGCGCUAAUAAAAAAAAAAGGUUCAAGAUUAGUCAUUUCAAAUGAGAAAAAAAAAGAAGAAACAAUCAUAAAGAGCGAAUCUUGUGAAUAAAUUACCGUAUUUGGACGCAACGAAACCGAGAAAAAACUAAGGUAAAGUCUAGACAAGAGCGCGCGCAUAAACUAUUUAUUGAUGAGCUUGUUCGUAUCAACAUAAAUAAAUAUCAAAGUAAUCCAGGCAAACUUUUGCAGAUUACGAAGAAUCUAAGUCGACAAAAAAGCUUUCAAUCAAAGUGUAUAUAUAUUUGAUAUAGAUUCAGUUUAGUAAUAAUUGUUUUUUAAUAUUUUAUUUUUAUUUUUUUAAAAUUAAUUUUUAACAUCACAAGCAUAUAAAAACAAUAUAAAAGAUUGAAAAAUUACAGUAAACCAUAUAACUUUUUGAAAGAUUUUAUACACGAAACCCUUGCUUAAUGACCAUAUAACAAUAUAAAAUUAAUACAAUAUAAAAUUAAUACACUUGGACAGUACUUUUGCUACAGUUUUUUGGAUAGUUCAAACUCAUUUAAAGUAUUUUUAGUUGGAUGUUCAUAUAGGUGAAAACAGAAAGAUUACUGUUACCUGAAAAACAUGAAGUCGAGAUGAAGGUUUACAAGGUCAAAGACAGCGAUCAGACACUCAUAAAUGCAAUGAAUCAGCUUGUUUUGGACAUCCAUCAAUGCAAGAAAUGCCCGUUUUCAAGAACUCUAAGCAACUCCUGAAUCCAGAACAAAACCCUCAAAUAUCAGAUCUUUAUAUGUUUGAAUAUCUAAAAAGAAGAAAAAGCAAACAAAUUUUUUUCUAUUUUUUUAAAUUCAUCUUAAUCUUAUUUUUAUUUAUAUUUAGAUCAAUAUAUCUUCUCUCUUUUAUGUUAUUUAGAAAGCCUAUUUGAAAUGACAAUUAUUUUUUAAUUUUUUAGAAUGUUUUUCUGAUUAAUUUUUUUUUUAAUCUUUUGUAUAGAUGAACUUUAUUUUUUAAAAUAAAAAGAAAUUUAUUUUCAAAUAAUAUUUUUAAUAUAUGCAGCCUUGCAUACUAUUUUUUUUAUUCAAUCAAUUUAAUGUACAUGUCUAUUUUUAUUAUCGUUUGAUUAAAUAAAAAAAUUAUUUUAAUUAACAAAUUUAGCAAACUCAACCAUAUAAAUGUCAUGCAUGUCUUGUGAAAUUAAAUAUUUUGAUCUACACUUGUCUCUCGAUUUUUUCAGUUUUUAUUUUUACUCAUCGUUUAUGAUUUUUUUCACUUUUUAACACACAUAAUUCUCAGUGAGACCUUCAAAACAGAGAUGUUCAUAAUCUUCAUUUUUUAUUGCAUAUGUAAUUUCAGAGCAUUUCUCUCUAGAAUAUUAUUAUAUUGUUCUUUUUUUAAAAGAUACUUAUUUAAGCAUUAGAGAGUCCUCACCUUCACCAAAUAAGAUCUUUUGCUGGUACUAACCACAAACUAUCUUGUCCUACCAAACACCCAGUAUAAUCUAUCAGUCAUAUUGAGUAGGGAUAAUGAAUGAGAUUGUUAAGAUCAUUUAAUUAACUAAUUAUUUAACCUGGAAGUCUAUUUCUAAACUACUUGAAUUUUUUUGGACUUCAUCAUAAAACAUGUUCAUAGCAAAAAAAAAAAAAAAAACCCUGAUUCAGCAAAGCAAGUUAUAAGGGGUCUAUAUUUGCUUUCAUUAACUAAAAUAGCAAGAGCAACACAAUCCAUAUAUACAGAGUGUGUUCAUCCAAAUCAGUUGGAAAUUGAUGAUCCAAAUAACAGGAAGCAUUACAAACAACGCCCUGCAUGCCAUAGAGAUGAACAUUUUUUUUUCUAACCACCUGUAAAUCAAAGUGCACUAGGCUGACCAAUAAGAAACUGGGAACAACACGCAACCGCUAUUGAAUCCAAGCUCGUCUUUCCUCCUCUCCUUUUUCUUGGGUCAAAAAUCAUCACUACCUCUCCUUUUAAUCCCUGUUAAAAAAACCAAAACAACCUUCAAAAACAACCUUAUUUUCCAACAAACCAUAGACAAAACCUGCAGUGUUAAAUUUGAAGUCAAUUGUUUGGAAAGUUGUCGAGCAUCAAGAGCAGUAGAGCAACUACAAUGGAAGAGGUCAGUGGAAAGAGAAAACCAAAAAACUAUUAUUUUAGCUAUUAUUUUCAAUUUUAACAACUCUUAUGAUAUAUUUGAAUAGCUAAAAUACAUUUUCUUCUACUAAAAUAUUAUUUUUACAUAUUUACAUAUAAAAGCCAAAAACAAGGAGAAAGUAUAUACACCCUUUAGCCAACAUCUCUUUAUCUAUGGUUGGCUUUUGUUUCUCUCCUUAAAAACAGAACAAGAAGAAGAAAAGAAGCUUGCAAACCUCAAAACCUAAAAUUUUUAACAUUAUUAUAUAAAAUUGAAAAUUAAAAAUAUAAAUAUAAAUAAUUUUGAUUUUAAAAGUUUAAAAUUUAAACUUUAAAUUAUAUCUUUAAACUUUCAUAUUACUUCAUUAAUUUUAUAAAUUACUCAUAUUAAUUGUAUAAUUAAUAACAUGAUUGUAUUAUAUAAAAAAUAAUUAAACUAGUUAUAUAAUUAUAUUAAAAUAAGUUUAGUAUAAAAUAUAUUAAAAUAUAAUUAGCUUUUUUAAAUAGCUUUUUACCAUUGGAAUUGCACAUAAAAAAAGCUAUAUUUACAUCCAUUUUUCAAUUUAAUUUUUAACUUUUAAAAAUAGCAUGUCUUAUUGAAGUUGCUCUUAUGCAGAAUUACACGGGAGAGGAAGACAAAAGAAGUCCAAAAAUAUUUACUUUUUAAACAUAGAUGCUUGACUUGAGAAUUCAUUACAAAACAUAAAUCAACUCAAUUGUGAUGUGUGUGGCCCAACCCCUGCUCUACUGCACAAUGCGCGUUCGAUAUCCCUUUCAUUUCUUUCUCUACUUUUUCUCCACUGGAAGUCCAUCUUCUUUACAGUGUAAGAUCCGUAAGAAAAUCAUUGGAAACUUACCAAUACGAGUUCUUGACCUAAAGGAACCGGAAAAAAUUCGAAGUCAUUGGAAUAAAAAGAAAGUAGUGAGGGCUUUGGAAGUAUGUUACUAAGAUACCAGAAGAAGAAAAAAUAUUGAGCCUGGCUGGAUGUUGUGCCUCUUUAGCCAACACUUACCACACGGUUUGUUUCGUCUAGAUUCGUGUAAUACUUGUAGAAAUGUGGUGUUUUCUGAUUUAUAAGUAGAAUUUUACAUGUUCCAGCUUGAAAUUGCUAUUUGGUAGAUUUAAUUGCCAUAUUUCUUGAUCUUACCUUCUGUUUCGUGUUUGAUCACAAGAGCAGGCCUUACACAAAAUAGCGUGGAAAGCAAUUUCUGAACCAAGCUAGCUAGUUGAGGCUAGAAGGAUCGGUACUAAUUUAUCGCUAUAGGGAUUUUCAUGGCUUCCACCAGCGUGCAAGGAAUGACCUCAUCUUCAUCUUCUCCUCCUCCACUAUAUAUGCAUGAUGUGUUCCUUAGUUUUAGAGGCAAAGAAACCCGGAACAACUUUACUAGUCAUCUAUAUUCUAAUCUGAAACAGAGAGGCAUCGAUGUAUACAUGGAUGAUAGGGAGCUCGAGAGAGGAAAGGCCAUCGAACCUGCUCUCUGGAAGGCCAUCGAAGAAUCAAGGAUUUCAGUCGUUAUAUUUUCUAGAGAUUACGCUUCUUCACCAUGGUGCCUGGAUGAACUUGUCAAGAUUGUUCAGUGCAUGAAAGAGAUGGGGCACACUGUUCUGCCAGUUUUUUAUGAUGUGGAUCCCUCAGAUGUAGCCGAGCGGAAACGGAAAUAUGAGAAAGCCUUCGUUGAGCAUGAACAAAAUUUCAAGGAAAAUUUGGAGAAGGUCCGUGUUGGGUAAUUCCAGAAAUCAAACACACAUAAAUUUACGUGGUUCGGCAACUUGCCUACUCCACGGAACUACUGGUUUGUAUUAAUCAAUCAAAGAAACAAUACAAACAAGGAGGAGGAGAACACUCUUCUCAACUCAACUCUACUCACUCAAGCUCUCUCUACUGCUCUCUGUUCUGCCGCACGCCCUCAGCUCUUCAAUAUGUCUAUUUAUAGACUAAGCUGGGAACAAGAGAUUAUGGCCACCAUGAACUUCCACUUUGUGCUAAGUGGGAUGAGUUGUUCCCACCAUGUGCUUCCACUUUAUGCUAAGUGGGAGAUGAGUUGUUCCCACUAGCAUAAAGUGGAGGUGGGGCAUUGUUUGUCUCCAUUAUUCUAACAAUCUCCCACUUGGAGACAAACAAUGAAAUUAUCUUUUAUCCUUGAAGACUAACUGAAGUUUUACACAACUUCAGUUUAUCAAGUGUAACUCCUUUGGUUAACAUGUCAGCUGGAUUCUUGCUUCCACAGACCUUUUCUAGCAUCAGUUGUUCAUCGUCUAGCAAUUGUCGGAUGAAGUGAUAUUUGAUCUGAAUAUGCUUAGUCCUGGAGUGAAAUGCUGGAUUCUUGACAAGGAAGAUUGCACUCUGACUGUCGCUAUACAGAGUUCCCUUUCCAUUCAUCUUGCCCAAUUCUUUUAGGAAACUCUGUAGCCAUACUAUCUCCUUUGCAGAUUCUGAAACUGCAACAUAUUCAGCUUCUGUUGUUGAAAGAGCGACGAUCUUUUGCAAGGUAGAACUCUAGGAAACAACAAUACCUCCUAGAGUAUAUACAUAUCUUGUAGUUCUCUUUCUGCUAUCAACAUCUCCUGCUAGAUCAGCGUCUACAAAACCUUCAAGUUUCAAACCACCAGCUAUGAAACUGAGACAAGUUUUCGAGGAACCUUUUAAGUAUCUCAUGAUCCAUUUUACCGCCUCCCAAUGCUGCUUUCCAGGAUUGCUCAUAUAUCGGCUUACAACUCCCACUGCAUGGCCAAUGUCUGGUCUGGUACAGACCAUAGCAUACAUCAAAGAGCCAAUAGCUGAGGCGUAUGGAAUCUUAUCCAUAUGUUCACAUUCUAGCUCAGUUUUUGGUGACUGGUCUUUGCUGAGCUUGAAAUGAUUCCCCAGAGGUAUACUUACUAGUUUAGCAUUAUCCAUACUAAACCUGCUGAGAACCUUCUUGACAUACUCUGUUUGUGAAAGCUUUAGUAUGCCUUUGUCUUUAUCUCUGAUGAUUCUCAUGCCAAGUAUUUGUUUAGCAGCUCCCAGAUCCUUCAUUUCAAACUGUUUUGACAAUUGUUGUUUCAGCUUGUCAAUCUCCUCAAUGCUGGAUCCUGCAAUCAACAUAUCAUCUACAUACAUUAGUAGAAUGAUGUAGGAGUUGUCAAAAUAUUUGACAUAGCAACAAUGAUCAGCUUGACAUCUUGUGUACCCCGAACUGCACAUGAAGUUGUCAAACUUCUUGUACCACUGUCUUGGAGCUUGCUUCAAACCGUAUAGGCUUUUCUUUAGCUUGCAGACUUGGUUCUCCUUUCCUUGUAUUGCAAACCCCUCUGGUUGUUGCAUGUAAAUGUCUUCCUCCAAGUCACCAUGAAGAAAUGCUGUUUUUACAUCUAAUUGUUCAAGAUGUAAAUUUUCUGCAGCUACUAUCCCCAAAACAACUCUGAUUGUUAUGUGCUUCACAACUGGAGAAAAUAUCUCAGAGUAGUCAAUCCUUUUCUUCUGUUGAAACCCUUUUAUAACAAGUCUUGCCUUGAACCGUUUGCUUCCGUCAUGCUCAGUCUUUCCUCUGUAAACACACUUGUUUUGCAAAGCCUUCUUUCCUUCAGGUAGUGUGGUUAGAUCCCAAGUCUUGUUCUUCAACAACGAAUCCAUCUCAUCCUUCAUGGCUAACUCCCACUUGCUUGAGUUUCCAUCUUGUAAAGAUUCUUCAUAAGUUUGCGAUUCACCACCAUCUGUCAGCAAAAUAUAAUUCAGUAGAAGUGUGAAUCGUUGUGGGGGCUUCACAGUCCUUGAAGACCUGCGAACAUAAACAAUGGGUUCACUUGGCUCCGCAUCUUCCUGUGUAGUAGUGGGUACAGAUGUGCUUGAAUCUUCUUGCAAAGGCUCUUGAUUUUUGUUCUGCUCAGUAACAUCAGGAAGCCCUUCUAAUCUUAUGAAUUUAGAUUUUUGUGGACUUGUAUCUGAAUCAGCCAUAUCUGUUUCUACACUUGAUCUGUCUUUGUACAAAACUUUAUCAUUUAAGAUCACGUUCCUGCUUCUGAUAAUCUUUCUAUUCUGAUCAUCCAAGAACCGAAACCCAAAUUCUUCAUCUCCAUAGCCAAUGAAGAAACAUUUCUUGGAUUUGGCAUCUAGCUUGUUGCGAGCAUUAAAAUCUAUGUGAACAUAGGAAACACACCCAAAGACCUUGAGAUGAGAGAGUUUUACCUCUUUUCCUCUCCAUACAUCCUCAGGCAAUCUGAAUUCCAAAGGAACUGAUGGACCACGGUUGAUUAAGUAAACUGCAGUAUGAACUGCAUCAGCCCAGAAUGUUUGAGGUAACCCUGAAUGCAACCUCAUGCUUCUGGCUCGUUCAUUGAUGGUCCUGUUCAUCCAUUCAGCAAUGCCAUUCUGUUGUGGUGUGUCUGGAACGGUCUUUUCCAUUCUGAUACCAUUGACAGCGCAAUAUUCUUUAAAACCUCCAUCAAUGUAUUCUCCUCCAUUAUCAGAUCUUAAGCAUUUCAACUUCAGACCUGAUUCAGUCUCAACCAUAGCCUUCCAUUUCUUGAAUGUUUCAAACACAUCAGAUUUAUUUUUUAGAAAGUAGACCCAUACCUUCCUGCUGAAAUCGUCAAUAAAGGUCACAUAAUACCGAGAACCUCCAAGAGAUGCCACUGGAGAAGGUCCCCAUAAAUCUGUGUGUACUAGCUCUAGCUUUCUUGGUCUUAAGGUCUUGCCAACCUUUAAGAAACUAAGCUUCUUUUGUUUUCCAAGAAUGCAACUUUCACAAAUGUCUAGAUCAAUAUUUUUUAACUCUGGCAACUUUCCCUUCGACUGAAGUAUCUUCAUCCCCUUUUGACUCAUAUGGCCGAGUCUACAGUGCCAUAGAUGUGCCUGAUUUUCUGGUUUAGUAGAGGCAAUAAUGUCUGCAAAUCUUGUGGUCAUAUAUAAGGUGCCGAUUUUCUUUCCACGAGCCAAAACCAUUGCUCCCUUCGAUACAUUCCACAUACCUCCAGAAAAAAGGAUUGAAUGACCACUAUCGUCAAGUUGUCCGAUGAAGAUCAACUUCUUCUUUAAUCCAGGAACAUGCCUUACAUUUUGCAAGUUCCAUAUAGAUCCAUUCAUUGUCUUGAUUUGCACAUCUCCUAUACACACAAUAUCCAUUGGUUGUCCAUCGGCCAGAUAGAUUACACCAUGAUCUCCAGCAACAUAGUUUUGCAUCAUUUCAUGGUGUGGUGUACAGUGGAAUGAAGCACCAGAAUCAAGAAUCCAAUCAUCAAUUGAACUUUGUACAGCAAGAAUCAAAGCAUCUUAUACCUCAUCUGUGGUAGCGUUUGCAAAGUCAGCUUCAGGUUUUUUCAGUUUUGUGCAACUCCUCAUGAAAUGACCAGGUUUGCCACAAUUCCAACAUUCAACCUGCUUUCUGGGUCCAAACUUGCUUUUACUUCUGUAUCUGGAUUUUGAUUUGCCUCUGGAUAAGCCUCUAUCCUGUCUCCUCCCUCGAGUGUUGAUGUUGAGAGCUAGCCUGAACCUGAACUUUCAUCUGAGUCUUUCCUUCUCACUUCUUCGGCCAAAAUCAGGUCUCGGAUGUCAUCAUAUUUCAGUUUGGAUUUUCCAGCUGAGUUACUCACGGCUGUUCUCAUACCUUCCCAACUGCUUGGAAGUGAAGCUAGCAAAAUGAGUGCACGAAUCUCAUCAUCAAACUCAAUCUCAAUAGAUGACAAUUGAUUUGUGAUGGUAUUGAAGUUGUUGAGAUGUUGUGUAACAGAGGUGCCUUCUAUCAUCUUUAAGUUGAACAACUUUUUCAUCAGGUGCACUUUAUUAUUUGCUGAUGGCUUCUCAUACAUCCCAGACAAGGCUUCCAUUAAUCUUGCAAUGGAUCUUUCUUUUGUAACGUUGUGAGCAACUCUUCUUGAUAAGGAUAGCCGGAUAAUGCCCAAAACUUAUCUAUCAAGAAGUAGCCAUUCUUCUUCUUGCAUAUUCUCUGGUUUGCUCCCCAACAAAGGAAGAUGAAGUUUCUUCCCAUAUAGAUAGUCUUCGAUUUGCAUUUUCCAAUAUCCAAAAUCUGUCCCAUCAAAUUUUUCAAUUCCAGCAGCCUUUAUUUCAUCUACCAUUUUUAAUAAUUUUAAAUUUGAAUCUGCUGAAUCUGAUCUUACGGAUGUGUCCGGAAUGGCCAAAAAUGUUGGAAACAACUCUGAAAUCACCCAGAUCGGACUUUGAUGGCUCAGAUCUUAUCAAUCAAACUUUUGGAUCAAUGACGAUGCAGAUGAAGCCGCGUGUCAGAUGAAAUAGUGUCUGCGGCGCACCGGAUCAAACCUCAACAUGAUGAUGUGGCAUAGAUGACGUGUCAGACACAUAAGCAAACUGGGCCCACCAUAGAUGACAUGUCUCAGCCAUGUGGGUUUAUUGCUGACGUGGCAUUAGCUGACGUGGAUGAUGACUGGUCCAAUGACAUGUCUGCUGACUGUGCGGGAUUGCUGAUGUGUCUACUGACUGGCUGAUGACGUGGCGGGUCAACCUGGUUCGGUUGCAGGAAUUCUAGCGAAGAAGGAGCGUGUGGUGCGUGUGGCGCGUGGGCAAUCCUGACGUAGGCGCGUGUUGGCGCGUUAGGGCAUGCAGAACAUUGGUUCUUCGCUGGGUUUUCACCAGUGGAUUUGUCUUGUCUUCCCCUACACGAUGGUAUGUUUAAAAACACAUUUUGAGAACUUUUAUUUCUGGGUUUGGAUCAAACACCCUUUUUUUUCAAGAACAAGCUCUGAUACCAGUUGUUGGGUAAUUCCAAAAAUUAAACACACACACAAAUUUACGUGGUUCGGCAACUUGCCUACUCCACGGAGCUACUGGUUUGUAUUAAUCAAUUAAAGAAACAAUACAAACAAGAAGGAGGAGAAAACUCUUCUCAACUCAACUCUACUCACUCAAGCUCUCUCUACUGCUCUCUGUUCUGCCGCACGCCCUCAGCUCUUCAAUGUGUCUAUUUAUAGACUAAGCUGGGAACAAGAGAUCAUGGCCACCAUGAACUUCCACUUUGUGCUAAGUGGGAUGAGUUGUUCCCACCAUAUGCUUCCACUUUAUGCUAAGUGGAGAUGAGUUGUUCCCAUUAGCAUAAAGUGGAGGUGGAGCAUUGUUUGUCUCCAUUAUUCUAACAGUCCGGAACUGGAAAGAUUGUCUCUGUACAGUGGCCAAUCUAUCAGGCUGGGACGUGCGGCAUAGGUAAAUCAUCCAUCCACUUUUAUUCUCAAAUCCACCCUGUAUGGUUUCAAUGAUGAACAUAGCUUCUUUCUUUUAAUGUUUUUCAAUUGAAACAUGUGAUUAAAUAUCAAAAUAAUCACAAUUAAACAAGUAUAUCAAAACUAAUUCUUGAAUAAAUAAUUGUUAGUAGAUAAUUUUGAUCCAUUAAAUAGCUAUUCCUAGCUUUUGUUCUUGUGUGCAUGAUUCUUUAGUAACUGUGUGAUUUCUAUAGGCAAUAAGAUAGCUAUUGUAAGGAUCAUUCUUAGCAUCAAUACAAUCCUAGUUCCGUUUUCAGUUUAUUCUUUCCUUCUUUCCUUUUCCUCUCUGUUCUUGAAGCUAUCUAUUGUCAAGCCCUAUCUUUCUCAAAGAUUGAUUUAUUAAAGCCAUACAUUUUCGAGCUAAUAUUUAUUUUCCCAUUAUUACUAUCUGAUUUGAUUUGCACACAGCAUGAUUAAUGUUUUCCACCACCAUAUGCAGGAAUGAGUCGGAAUCAAUUAAAAUAAUUGCUGAAUACAUAUCGUACAAACUAAGUGUCACUCUGCCAACAAUUAGCAAAAAAUUAGUUGGAAUAGAUUCUCUUCUAGAGGUAUUAAAUGGCUAUAUAGGUGAAGAAGUAGGCAAAGCAAUCUUCAUAGGGAUAUGUGGAAUGGGUGGCAUAGGUAAGACGACUGUUGCAAGGGUAGUAUAUGAUAGGAUUCGUUAGCAAUUUGAAGGCAGCUGCUUCUUAGAAAAUGUCAGAGAAGAUUUUGCUAAGAAAGAUGGACCACGUCGUUUGCAGGAACAACUUCUUUCUGAAAUCUUAAUGGAACGUGCUUCUGUAUGGGAUUCUUAUAGAGGGAUUGAGAUGAUAAAGAGGAGGUCACGACUUAAAAAGAUUCUUCUUCUCCUUGAUGAUGUAGAUGACAAAGAACAGCUAAAAUUCUUGGCUGANNNNNNNNNNNNNNNNNNNNNNNNNNNNNNNNNNNNNNNNNNNNNNNNNNNNNNNNNNNNNNNNNNNNNNNNNNNNNNNNNNNNNNNNNNNNNNNNNNNNAGGGAGCAGAAUUAUGAUAACAAGCAGAGAUAAACAAGUGUUGACUAGAAAUGGUGUUGCUAGAAUUUACGAGGCUGAGAAAUUGAAUGAUGAUGAUGCUCUUACGUUGUUUAGCCAGAAAUAGGUUUUUCCAGCUACUAAUUCUAUAAAUAUAAUGAAAACAGAAAUGAGAAACUCGUCAGUUUUUCUAUUGAUGUAGAACGAGGAAGAAGACGAGGGAGAGAAUAGAUGAAGAAUAGAAAGGUGACGUAUAAAGGAAUUGGGGGGGGGGGGCUUUUAAAUGGAUAUGGGUAAUAUUAUUUAUAUUAAUAAAGUAAUAUAAAAAAAGAGGAUAAAGAGUUACAUCCUAAUAAUAAAAAUCAAAUAUCAUAACUCUUCAUUCUUAUAAAUAAAUAUGUCUGUUAUACAAUAAUAAACACUAAGAAAAAAUAUUGAAAAGAAAAAUGGAUUCUCAAAAAAAAAAAUCUAUUUUAAUUUUCAGAAGAAUUGUUAAAUAAAGUAGGCUUAUUGAGUAAUGUGAUGUGAUAGUAAUUAUUUUUAAAUUUUUUUAUUUGAAAAUACAUUUAAAAAAUAUUUUUAAAAUGUAAAAACAAUAGUAUUAAUUGUUAAAUUAUGUGCAGACAUUAUAUAUAUAUAUAUAUAUAUAUAUAUAUAUAUAUAUAUAUUAUUGCUUAUGUGUAUUUAUUGUUGUGCAAUUCUUUGCUCCUCUGUCUGUCUUGUUGAAACAAACUAAAAAGAAAAAUAAUGUGCCAGUUAGAAAUUGAACGUUGAACACCCACUUGGUGAGAUUGUCUGAAACUUAAAUAGUAAAAAUGUGAUGGCCUCAUUCACCACUGGGCUGUUGCUCAAGUUUUGUCAUGCAUACAAUAUAAAUAAUAAUCAAACCUAAGACCUUAAGAAGGAAGAGAUUGCUGGCUGCGUACUGCAUUUUAGGGGUGUUCAAAAAAACCGAUUAACCGAAAAAACCGAAGAAAAAUUAACCGAAAAAACCGAACCGAGAUAAAAAACCAAUUAAACCGAUUUUUAAAAUCAUAAAUUCUAAUAGGUCCGGUUCGGUUUCGGUUUUAAAACUGAAACCAACAAACCGAACCAGACCAACCAAAAACCCAAAGCUAUACAAAUUAAGAGGGGUAUAAAUAGUUAAAUACUGAAACCUAACCCUAAAAGCCGUCGCUUGACCCCUGAGAAUAUUUAUGUCAAUCUUCCUUUCCCUUUCAAAUUUCAAUUGCUCUGCCUCCUCCAUCUCUAAAGUGAUUCUCAUCUCUUCAUCUACGUUUAUCUCCAUCUCAAAAGUGAGCCAAACACAAACUCAUCUCCUUAACUUCUCUUCUCUUUACUUUUGCACAAUCCUUCUUUAUUUCUGCUUAAGUUGUUGCAGUUACAGUAGAAGGAGAUGGAUCCUGUAGAGAAAAGAUAACAAGGUAAUUUUUUACCCAGUACUUGGUGUUUGCCCAGGGAUCCAAGGUAUAUCAACAGGAAACAAUGAUUAAUGACCGAAGUUGAAUUUAUAGCUUUUGUUAUUUACUGCAACAAAGACGGAUCUAUUACAAAAUCCUCUGAAUGGUUAGCUAAACUGCAUUGUUCCUCGCUUGUCAGCUCAAGAUUGUAAUAACUGGAAAUAUAAAAUUCCAAACAAGGAAAAAUUAGUGUUUGAUCUGUGAAGGGAUUCGGUUUUCUGGUUUUUUGCCAAAAAAACCAGAUUUAACCGAACCGAACCGGUUCGGGUGAUAUUUCAUAAAAUUAAUAUAACUCGGUUCGGUUGGUUUUUUUAGUCUAAACCAAACUGAACCGAACCGUGAACACCCCUACUGCAUUUAGUUGUGUAGUGGAUGUAUACAUUAAUAAUAUAUUUAGAAACAAAGGGUAUAAUUCUGCGUUGGAGAUUUAUAUUAAUGAUUUGGGCUAAUUGUUGUGCAUUUUAUUUUCAUGUGCAAUUCUAUAUUAAUGAUAUGUGCAUUGAUUAGUUAUGAUAAAUUAAUUUAUAUAUGUUAUGACUACAAAUUUAUUAUUCACAUAUGUUUAUAUAUAUGUAUACAUGUUUUCCAAACACAGUGUAAUUCCAUGUUUAACCUAGUAGAAUUGUGAAUUUAUUGAAUUCUUAAAAUAUAUGUUAUUUUAAAUAUAUGAUCCUUACGUUAUUAAUUAUGAUAUUAAUAAUAUGAUUAUGAAAAUAGUGAGCUUUCGAUUUUUGAUUUUAAAUAUGAUAUCAAAUCAUUGUUGGCAUAAUUAAUUGAUAUUAAGGAUAUGUAUAUAUGUUUUAGUCAUCAAUUAAAUGUGAAUAUGUGACUAAUAAAAUAUUUUUUUAUGUGAAAAAAAUAAGAAAUGACUAUUGCUGCCAAGAAUAUUGUGGCCGAGCUUAAUAUGAUCUUCUUAAGCCAACAAACCUAAAAUUAAUAUAUUCAUUGCUGUUGCACUUUAGGUCGUGGCGAAGAGACUUGUUUCUUUCUUCUGCAUCCGGGUUCGAUCUUCUCUGUGCAUGCCUGUAACCCCCGCGGUGUCUUACAUGUUCACUGGGCUUGCAGGAUAUUCAGUAGGUCCGAGGAUUAGUUGUGGUGCGCGUAAGCGUAAGCAUCAAAGUGAAUCUCAAUAUAAGCAAGGUAAAGAGAAAUCCAUGGAAAAGGAAAACAUUCUUUUAAGAAGAAAAGGAACAAUCACCAAGAGGUUCCUCUGGUCCACAAAGGGAUUUGAGUUUUGGACAUCUGCUGAUCUCAAGUUGCUUUAACUGGGGGAAAAUAUUUAGUGGGAAGAACUCAGGGGACAACAAGUAAUGCCAAUUUUUUUAAAAGUAGUGCAAGCAUAACCCCACUCUUCAAUUUCCUGACAUAUAAAAUUGAUGAUGGCAUGGAAUGAAUCGACUGUGAGACUUUGCGAGUCAGAAAACAAUUUCUCUAACUGCAACUUAUGAAAAUCAUUAGCCAACAUUAUUUUAUUAAUGCGUGCAGGAGACCAUCCAAAAGGUGGACCCAUAAGCUUACAUUUUGCAAUCUCAAGCUCCACUAAAGAAGGAAGGUCGCUGGGCAGUGUUGUUAGGCUCGAACACUUUUUUAUGCAAAGCACUUGAAGGCUUGGGAAAGCUCUGCCUUUAGAUUUCCAUUCACGCACUUACCAAAAAAAAAAGAUUUCCAUUCACGCCAUUGCAACAUCCUCUCAAAAGUUAGGCUUUCAAGGGAUUGGGAUGGGUUUCCUACGGUCGUGGGACUUCCAUAGAACUCAUAACCAACAGACUUUAAAUUAUAGAAGUCUUCAAUCAAGAGCCUUUUUAGAGUUUCUAACUGACCAAGAGAUGGUAAAGAAACACAUUAUUUACAUCCACUAAGCCUCAGAUCGACCAUAUUUUUGAAAGAAGUGUGUCCUAUCCAUCCUGGAAGUUUUUUACCUCUUUAACAAAUUAUAGAAAGAGUUUCCACUUUUGCACUAAGCCACAAUGCUUCAAGUACAUCUUCUUCUGUUAAAGAAUCAUCAGUAUCCCUCAUGUCACCCCAUCUUAACUCUAAUUCUUAAGAUCCUUGCCCUUCAAAUUGGCUUCAGAAGCAUUUAGACCAUGAAAAGCUCAAGCUUUACUAAAGAUAAUGCUCUUUAUAGUCCUAUCUCUUUCAUUCGAGUGCGCUUUCUAUCCCUUGUAUACUAGAUAAUACGCUUUCUAGUUAUAUUUAUGUUUCUUUCGAGUAUGUUUUUUAGUCCUCAUUUAUUAGAAAGUGUGCUUAAUAGUCAUAUCUCUUUUCUUUCAAUUGUGUUUUGUAGCCCUUAUAUACUAGAUAAUGCACUUUAUAGUAAUAUUCAUUUUUCUUUUGAGUGCGCUUUUUAGCCCUUGUAUACUAGAUAAUGUGCUUUUGAGCUCAAUCCAUCUUCCUUUUAAGUGCGCUUUCUAUCCCUCAUCCAUUAGAUAGUGCACCUUUUAACCUUAUCUUUUUUCCUUUCGAGUGCGCUUUCUAGCCCUCAUCCAUCAGAUAAUACACUUUCAAGUCCUAUCCUUUUCUUUUUAGUACGCUUUUUAGUCAUAUCAUUUUCUUCCCAAGUGCGCUUUAGAAAUCUCAAUUCUAACACUCUUGGAAAGAUUAACUAUUUUGUUAACUGUAAAUCUAUGAUGUUGUGUCUUUUCUUAUUUACAACUUACUAUUUAAAGUCUCUUAUAAAAUUUUUUGUCAUAGGCAUUAUAAAGAUGAAGCAACUGUUAUAACCUAAUUUUGGGAUCCCCCCAAAUUACAAGUUUUUUAAAUGAAAAGCAAUAAAAAAAUUGAAAAUGAAAAAGACUGAUAAAUUAAAAAAAAAAAAAACAAGUUGAGAAGGGUUUCAAAUGCAUGGAGGAACCAAGCUGGAGUUUUAGACAAAAUUGGAAUCCUAAUUGUACCUAUUUGUACCCAAGAUCAAUAAAGGGCAAAUUAAAUUAUUAUUGGAUUAAUUUGUAUUUUAAUAGGUCAACUUGAGUUAAUCAUGACCCUACUUAAAGGUUUUAUUAAGUUUAAAAAUUAAUUUGGGUCAAAUUAAGAGAAAUAAUUAAGUGUAAGGACUUAAUUAGACUUUUAAUAGGUUAAAGUUAUUUUUAUUAGGAAUUUAAUUGGUGAAAAAUUAAGUUUGAAAGCUUAAUUUGGGCUUAAUUGAGAAUAUUGAAAUUUUAGAUGAUCAAAUUUAUUAUUUUUAAGCUUAAUUGUUUGAAUUCAGGGAUAUAAUUGCAAGAAAAUCAAAGUUUAGUGGUCCAUCAAGGGUCAAAUUAAAGAAAUUCAAGACUAAGAAUCUUUAUGCAAAGGAGCAAAAAUUUAGGUCUCAAAUUCGGUUGAAAACAAGGAUGAAAUUCAAAAAAUUAAAAGUUUGAAAUUCAAUUAAAAAUAAAAUCAAAGAACCUUUAUGUAAAAGCAACGUGUUUUUCGAAGCCAUCUCUCCCCUCCACAUCCCUCACACCAUGACACUAAACAUACCUCUCUUGUGACCUGCUACUGUACCCCCAUCAAGAGCAGAAAAACAAGUCCUUUGGCAGUACUAAGAACACUGCCAAUCCGGCUUUUGUGGCUUUGUUUGGACAUGAGAAGCGUAGGCCAACACGUCCCUCACCCUCUAUAAAUGCCAACCUCAUGGCAACCAUAUGGCAGGGGGGAUAAAAAAAAGAAAAAAGAAGAUCAAACACUACACCAACACUAAACCCUCUCUACACCGACGACCUCACAAAAAUCAAACAACCUCAAUCCCUGUCCCAAAGAACAACAACUAGAGACCAUUGAAAGAGCAAUCACAGCAACAUUUGUUUUUCUCUCCUAGCCUUCAUUCCUCCAUCGAUACUCUCUUGUGCACCAGCAACAGCCUUGACAGAUCAAAAUUCAUUUUGUUAUGUUCCAAUUCGUGAGUUUGAGAGAGAAAGAAGAAAGUCACUUAAUAUUGGGUGAGGAGAGAGAAAGAGAUAGAUUGCCACAAUUCGAUAAUAAAAAAAUUGAUUUGGUUCCACUUGCCGAGAGUGGAAUUUCAUUGUGGUUUCACACCUUUUAUCUUAUCAGACAAAUAUAGAUCGAAGCUUGUAAUUUUUUUUUGAAUUGGAUGAUUUCUUAGUUUUUUUACCGGUUAAAAGUUGAUUUGAUGUUCGAUUUGAAUUUAUUGAGAAGUGUGGAGGUAUUUAUUAGGUGUUUUUAAGUGAAAAAUAACAAAAAAAAUAUAUUUGAGUUUAAGAGAAUGAAACCUAACUUUUAGAUCACCUAAUUUAGCCGGAAAGGUUACCAAUUUAUCUUUUCACAAUACAAGAUUAUAUAUUUUAAAUUGCAUUUAUCUUCUAAUUUUUUGAUUUAAUAUUUAAUUACUAUCACAACUCUUUUAAAUAAUUAUCACUGCACAUUAUUAUCAAUUUAUUUUAUUAAAUACACAUGUUAAAUUUUUAAUUCAUAGUUAGUUUUCUUAUAUGUUAAAAAAAACACUAACAGCCCCUAUCUUUUUUUUACUACAAAAAAUAAUGUUUGAUUCACUCGUUAUGAAGUUGCUAGUUAAGUUAUCAUGCAUUGAAGAGGUUGAGUUUUAGAGGUGAGUAUGAUAGGUAAUAAUAUAUAUGCCUUUUGUUUUGAAACUUUAAUUUCAAUUUAAAACUAUUUAAAGUGGAUUAGAAUUGAUUUUGAAGUUAAAAAUGGGUUUAUAUAAACUAUUAGGAUGGGUUUGAGAUUCUUAAGCUGAAAAUGAUUGAAAAUGGCAUUUUUGAUACCCAUGGAUGGUGGCUCUCGAUUUUCUAGCUAUCGAAGCGUCGCUUAGAAAACAUAGCAGGAAUCAUACCCACAGUAUAGCUCGGAUGCAUUGGCUGAUUGAUCAAGAAAGGGUUCUACGAAACUACAAAAUUAACCAUUGCCACUCAUCUUCUAGAGUGAAGGAACCCUUCUCCAGAUCUGGUCAUAGUUUUUUGGAUAAUUCAAACUCAUUUUUUUGGAUAACAAAAAGAUUGCUGUUACCUGAAAAAAUGAAGUCGAAUGAAGGUUUACAAGGUCAAAGACAGCGAUCAAACACUCAUAAAUGCAAUGAAUCAGCUUGUCUUGGACUUCCCACAGAUACACCUGUUUUCUACCACACUUAUUUUGGGACUCAUUAUAUCUGAAAAUGUCUUCAGCAAAGCAUAUUCUCCUUCUUCUUCAUUUUUUAAUCUUUUGAUAUGCAUAUUAAUUCAACAUUACAUAAGGGCUAAGGCUUUUGUGAAUAAGGGGCUAUUCACACAAAAGAAUAAAAAGCCAUGAACAAAUGUGCAGCAGACAUCCAUCAAUGCAAGAAAUGCCCAUUUUCAAGAACUCUAAGCAACUCCUAAAUCCAGAACAAAACCCUCAAAUAUCAAAUCUUUAUAUGUUUGAAUAUCUAAAAAGAAGAAAAAGCAACCAAAUCUUUAUAUGAACUUGACAUCCAUCAAUGCAACAGCGUCACCGUUUUAUCCGGGAGCACGAGCACUUGUCUGAGCAGCAUCUGCUUGAGCUGCCGCCUGAGCAGCUAAUAAUCUGAUCAAUCAAUACUAACUACAAACGUAGUCAAAUUGUAUCCUAUUUGAUGUUAUUUUCGAUGCAACUGUCAGUCCGCUAAACAAUAUUUGCUUGAUCUUGCACAACCAACAUACAUACAUGAAGAAAAGAAGUAUUCUUUUUCCAUUCCAAUAGCCAAAAAAAAAAAAAAAGGCAAUCACAUUUCCAUGUUCUUCAAAGCUAUUUGUUAUGCAACUUCCUCACCAACUGUUAACACUCAUUAAUCUCUAACAGCAGUAGACAUAUAUGAAGAAGAAAUCAACAAUAUUCAUCCCACUUUAACACCCCAAAAAAGGUGGGUUAGAAAUCACCCCACCCACCUUCACUAACUUUCCUUACCUUUUGAUAGCCAACAAUACAACGCGAAGAAAAUAAGUGUUCUUUUCCCAUUUUCAAAGCUAAAAAAAAAAAAAAAAAGAGUAAAUGAAGAAGUAUGGUGUGUGGUAUCUGAGUUUAUCCUAUGUCGGGUUCUAUCAAAAGCUGGUUUUUGCUUGGUGAGACCAGGUGUAUUUAUACAUUAACUUCAAAUUUUUUUAUGAAGAAGAAAAUCAUGUCAUUAGCUAACCAAGAUGGCUCGUUAAAGCGAGCUUGGGUUUUGUGCCUAGCUUGAUGAAGCAGCUUGGAAGAGAUCGAAGUUGGUGUGCCAGUGUAACAGGGUAUUUACACACCAACUUAAAACUUCAUUUGCUUUUUUAAAAAAAAAAAUCUUUAGUUAAUAAUAAAUCUCACAAUUAUUAAUUAUUGGUUAUAUAUACUUUUUUACUAUGUAUCAUAUUGGUGCCCACCAGUGCAGUUUCAUCCCUCAGCAGGGUCUGGAUCCAGCAGACCAGCAAAGACAGCAGCUUGUUCUUUAGUCUUGCCAUCAGCAAUGUGAGCAACAGCUUCGUCAGUUAAGCCGGCACUAAAAUCAUGGGAUGUUUUUUAAAUGGAAAGAGUGAAAUUAAAUUGAUUUUUAGAAUCAAAAUUUAAUUACGGAUCUCAUUGAAUAAAUAAAAAAAUUACGGAUUGAAAUCGAGAGGAGAUUUAAACCUAAUUUGAAUCUAAAGAGCCAAAACCACUCUGUUUGAUUUAAAUCGAAUGGCAUGUUUUGCAUAAAAUGACAUGGUUUUGGUAAUUAAUUAAUUAAUAAAUAAAAGAAGCGAGAAAAAGAAAAGAAGGAAAAGACGUCGUUUUACUGUGCACCGUGUUCUUUCUCUGUGCCAGAUUUUGAAGAUAAGAGAUGGUUUUUCCCCUUUGUUUAAACCCUUUUUUUAGGCCCUCUCUCUCCUCCAUGAUAUUAGCUCGGAAAGAGUGCAACAACAGAUAUAUUAUGCAUAAAUAAUAUGUAAAAUGAGUUGUCUAUGUAAACGGUGUUCUAUCGAUUUAUAAGAUAGCUAGGUAGGUGUUGUUAUGAUAUGUGUUUUACUGACAAUUUAUAAUUAAGAAAUGGUAGGCAUUAUAUAAUUAACAAUUUGUGAGAAAGGAUAGCAGUACCAUACUAAUAACAAUUGUUUGGUCUGAGUUGUUUAAGUGGUGACCCAUACUAGUAGCAGUUGUUAAGUCAGGUCUAAAGAUAUUCGCACUCUCUCUUUUCUAUGAGGCCUUUGGCCCCAUCAUGUAUAAAGAAAUAUUUCCAAGGAAUCCUAGAGAUCGAAAUUCUCUCCAUCUGUGCAACUUCCCUUGGAUUCUCGCUUUUCGUCCUCACCAUUCUAAUGAUAUGCUUCCCGAUGACGUGCGAAGUAGAAACCGACAGCUUGGCCAAGUAGCAGUUGUUAAGUCAGGUCUAAAGAUAUUCGCUCUCUCUCUUUUUUAUGGGUCCUUUGGCCCCAUCAUGUAUAAUGAAAGAUUCAUUUGUGAAUGAAAAAUAGAGCUUUGUUCCAUUAGGAGUUGAAACCACCUAACUUGGCUUAAUUAGAUGUGACUAUAGAAAAAUCUAACAAUAAAUUUCAUUAAUCGUAUUUAAUGUGAUGAAUGUUCUUUGUAGCAGACGUACGUGAAGUGAUUUGAAAAAUAUAAAUAUUGAGUUUUAGAAACAUACAUUUCGUGAAAAUAAUUAUAUAAACACUUAUUGCACUAACCAAUAGCUAGCAGUUCAUACAUUAAAGUGUCCUUUCAUUCAUAUUAGUCUAACAUAGUGAUUCCUUUCUUUAUCCUCAUACUUUUUGUUAUUGAUUGCAUCCUUUAGUUUGUUGUUUGUUGGUUUUUUUUUAUUAGUAGUCUCUUUUAUUGGCAUGUUCUUGGUAAUCGAAGGUUUUUAUCAUAUUUUGAAACUUGAUUUGAGAUCAAUUUAAAUUUAAUGAGAUGAUGUUUGAAUUUUUUCCAUAAAGACAAAAUUUAGAAAAAAGGAUUAAAAAAAAUGCACUUUUGUCCCUUUUUCUUUACAUAUUUUUACUUUUGUUCCUUUAGUUUUAGCAUUUUAGGUUUUGGUCCAAAAUUCAUUAUGUUAUGUGUCGCACGUGUGCGGCGUCGCGGCAAAAACAUCCACCCUCAUAAUUUUCUUAUUAUCUAAUGUUAUCUAAAAAUGUGGCAAAUGUGGGGAGACAAUGAAUUCUUGUCUUUUAUUAGUGGAAAAAUGGGAGUCGCCACCUAGUAUUUUGGUCACUAGGAACCCUAACUGGUCUCAGAGAUCAGGUACGGGGACUGGUUGCGUAAAGGGAAGGUAUUAGCACCCCAAAUACGCCCUACCUAAGGUAAGCUGCAUUGUUUUAUUGUCUGAUAAAAUCUAAGGUCUUGUCGUGUUUUCUAGUUGUUGGUUCGUCUAUGGUUCAAGAAAAGUCUUCCUCGGUAAGGAGAUUCUUAUCUUAUCGGGUAAUUUUGAUGUCAACAAAAGAAAUUUAAUAUCCGGAAUACGUCUUAUGUAUAAGGUCGUAACCCCAGAUAUUAAAAGAAAACAAAAUAAUUUUUUUGGAAUUUUUGAAAUAUUGGCCUAGUUCUCGUGACUUUAAUAAACUGGUUAUUAAAACCAAAAUGCAUGCUAAUACAUAUUUUUGAACUUUUCUUUGUUAUAUGAAAAUACAAUAUGAAUUUUUUUUAAUUUUUGAGAGACUUGGCCGUAUGCAUGAAAACAAAAUAUUUUUUUAUGUUUUGACAAAAACCAGGUAUUUCAAUACCAGAUUUGUAUCUUUACAAUAUAAAAAUACAAACCAAUAUUGAUCAAAAUGCAGUAAAAUAUUUGCGGAAAAUCACAGAUUUUUUUUUAAAUAAUUUUUGAAGAAAUUUUUUUUUCUUUUUUUCGGGCUGGGCUGGACCCAACCACCCAUGUGGCUUGACCCAACUAAGCCAUGCACGCGUAAAAUUCUACGCGUGCAUAUAUUACCUUCGCACUGUUCAUCCUUCGUUUUUUCGUGCACCAGCAACAGCCUUGACAGAUCAAAAUUCAUUUUGUUAUGUUCAAAUUCGUGAGUUUGAGAGAGAAAAAAGAAAGUCACUUACUAUUGGGUGAGGUCUUAGUUUUUUCACCGGUUAAAAGUUGUUUCAAUAUUUGAUAUUAAAAAGUGUAGGGUGUUUAUUAGGUGUUUUCAAGUGAAAAAUUAAAAAAAAAAGUUUUUUUAGGUUCAAGAAAAUGAAACCUAACUUUGAGACCACCUAACUUGGCCGGAAAGGUUACCAAUUUAUCUCCCCGUAAUACGAGAUCAAAUAUUUUAAAUUGUAUUUAUCUUCUACUUUUAUAUUUAAUAUUUAAUUAUUAUUAACAACUCUUUUUAAUAAUUAUCAGCACAUAUUAUUAUCGAUUUAUUCUAUUAAAUACAUAUGUCAAAUUUUUAAUUCAUAGUUUGUUUUUUUAUACACUAAAAAACUAUUAACAAUCCCUAUCUUUUUUUUAUUAAAAGAAUAAUGUUUGAUCUCACUCGCUGUGAAGUUGCUAGUUACGUUAUCAUGUAUUGAAGUGGUUUGGUUUUAGAGGUAGGUAUGAUGGGUAAUAAUAUAUAUGUAUUUUGUUUCGAGAUUUUAAUUUCAAUUUAAAACCAUUUAAAGUGGAUUAGAAUUGAUUUUUAAGUUAAAAAUGGGUCUAUAGAAACUAUUAGGAUGGGUUUGAGGUUUUUAUGCUGAAAAUGAUUGAAAAUGGCCUUCGAUUAAUUAUAUUAUUAAAUUAACUAAUUUUAUUUAAUAUAAUCAAGUUAAUCACCAAAAUCUUAUAUUUUUUUUAAAGUAGUCUCAACAUUAUUUUUCCAUGUUAAAAAAAUCACACGGUAGAUAGCAAUCCGCGAGCCACCUAAUACUAAUACAUCAUUAGCUAACAUCCACUGGAGGAUUUAUUUUAUUGAAUAUAUAUAUAUAUAUAUAUAUAUAUAGACACACACAUCAAUCUUGGGUUCCCACUAGGAAAUUUUCUAGCUAUCGAAGCGUCGCUUAGAAAACAUAGCAGGAAUCAUACCCACAGUAUAGCUCGGAUGCAUUGGCUGAUUGAUCAAGAAAGGGUUCUACGAAUCUAAUAUAGUUUGUUUUCACUUGACUACAAAAUUAACAAAGGCCACUCAUCUUCUAGAGUGAAGGAACCCUUCUCCAAUAUCAAAUCUUUAUAUGUUUGAAUAUCUAAAAAGAAGAAAAGGCAACCAAAUUUUCAAGCUUUUUCCCUCUAUUUUUUUUUUUUGGGGGGGGGGGGGGGGAGCAAAAAAGGUCAUGGAUUUUUGCCAUUUUUUGGUUACAUGGAGAGCAGGGGGAUCUCAUUAAAGCAAAUAAUUCAUCAAUCAUAAUCAAAACUCAAAACAAAGCAUGCAAGUACAAGUACACCAUGAAUUUUAAUGUUGAUGGUAAAAAAUUAAAAAUGGUGUAAAUUGAGAUGGAGAGCUAAAUAUAUAAAAAGACCAAAAAACAAAACGAAUGCUAUAAUCAAAUUUCGAACAUCUAAAAGGUAUCUUGUGUGCGACUAUUUCCAUGUCAUUAUGUACGACAGAAAAAAGAGAGGAUGCUAUAAAAGAAUGUGUGGAACCAAGUGAAACAAUGAACAUCCAAAAGGGGAGUUUGAAAUUGAUGAAUUAAAUUUUUAUCUCUAUAUUUUUUUAAAAAAAUUAUAAAUAUAAAUUUUCAGGAAUAUAAAUAUAUUACAAUGAAAGCAUGUUAAGUUCGACGCUAGUCAGACCCGUGCAUGUUAGACUUAACAAUAUACCAAGCCUCAAACAUGUUAGGUCCGACAAUGUGAAAUGACCUUCCUCUCUUUUAGACUAAAUAUAUUGUUUUAAACAACAAUAAUUUAUACAUUAAAGGGUCUUUUCGAUCCUACUAGACCAACAAAAUUAUAUAAAUAUUUAAAACAAAGCUAUUAAUAUGAUAUUUAUUAUGGAUUAUAUUCUAUUAUGCCUUUCAUUGUUAAAUUUUGUCAUCCAAUUUAUAAUUUGAAGUCAUUGGAGCAUAGCUAUUUGAAUAGCUAAAAUAGCAUCUUCUUACCAAGCUUACCGAUCGAGCCAAAAGCAAGUUGAAAGUAUAUAUACCCGCUAGUCAACAUACCUCAAUUGUGAUGUGUGUGGCUCAACCCCUGCUCUUGACAGGAAGGUGCCUCUGCUCGCAAUGCGCGUUCCAUAUCCCUUUCAUAUCUCUUCUCACUUUUUCUCCACUGAAACUCCAUCUUCUUUACAGUGUAAGAAAAAGAUCCGUAAGAAAAUCCAGGAAACUUACCAGUACGAGUUCUUGACCUAAAGGAACCGGAACAAAUUCAAAGUCAUUGGAAUAAAAAGAAAGAAAAAGGCUUUCGAAGUUGGUUACUAAGGCUAAGUUUGUUUUCCGGAAUUUAUUUUCUAGAAAACUAUUUUCCAAACUUUCUUGUGUUUGUUUGUCAUUAGAAAAGUUAGUCAACGAAAAAUACUUUUCAGUCAAAGGAAAAUUUGACUUGGUUUACAGGAAAAUAUUUUCCUGAAAAAUUUGAGCGGAAAACACUUUCCGGAAGUUGUGAAAAAUUUAGAAAUGUCAAAUUUGAUCCUCAAACUUUUGAUUGCUAUAUAUAUUUUGUUUUGAAUAUUUAUUUUUCAAUUUCAUCUCUUAAAAUUUAAUUUUUAUAAACUUUGGUCCUCAUUUUUAUAAUUGUUAUUUGCUUUUCCCUUAUCAUUUUUUUAUUGAAAUUUUUUAUGUAUCAAAUUUGAUCCUCAUUCUUUUGAUUGUUACUUAUUUUAUUUGAAAUAAUUUAUGAAAUGUUAAUUAUUAUUAUUUUAAUUUCUUCAUCUUUUUUUUUAGAUUUGAUCUCUAUUAUUUUGAUUAUUAUUUAUUUUAUUUGAGAUAAUUUAUGAAAUUAUAUUUUUUUUUCAAUUUCAUUCUCAUUCAACUUUUUAAUUUGUAAGAUUUGUUUCUCAUUAUUUUAAUAAACUUGAGAAAAAUAAAAUAUUAAUAAGUUAUUUUCCAACUCAUUUUCCAUGACAUAACCAAAUACUGAAAAGUGUUUUCCAACUUAUUUUCCAUUACACUACCAAACAUCAGAAAAUAAUUUACUUUAAAAAAAAAACUACUUUCCAGCAAACAAACAGAGCCUAAGAUACCAGAAGAAAAAGAAAUAUUGGGCGUGGCCUGGAUCUUGUGCCUCUUUAGCCAACACUUACCACCCGGUUUGUUUCGUCUAGAUUCGUGAAAUACUCGUAGAAAUUUGGUGUUUUCUGAUUUCUAAGUAGAAUUGUACAUGUUCCAGCUUGGAAUUGCUAAUUGGUAGAUUUGAUUGCCAAAUUUCUUGAUCUUACCUUCUGUUUCAUGUUUGACCACAGGAGCAGGCCUUACACAAAAUAGCGUGGAAAGCAAUUGCUGAACCAAGCGAGCUAGUUGAGGCCAGAAGGGAUCGGUACUAGUUUAUCGCUAUUGGGAUUUUCAUGGCUUCCAGCAGCAUGCAAGGAAUAACCUCAUCUUCAUCUCCUCCUCCUCCACUAUAUAUGCAUGAUGUGUUCCUUAGUUUUAGAGGCAAAGACACGCGGAACAACUUUACUAGUCAUCUACAAACUAAUCUGGCACAGAGAGGCAUCGAUGCAUACAUGGAUGAUAGGGAGCUCGAGAGAGGAAAGACCAUUGAACCUGCUCUCUGGAAGGCCAUCGAAGAAUCAAGGUUUUCUGUCAUUAUAUUUUCAAGAGAUUACGCUUCUUCACCAUGGUGCUUGGAUGAACUUGUCAAGAUUGUUCAGUGCAUGAAAGAGAUGGGGCACACUGUUCUGCCAGUUUUUUAUGAUGUGGAUCCCUCAGAGACAUAUGAGAAAGCCUUCGUUGAGCAUGAACAAAAUUUCAAGGAAAAUCUGGAGAAGGUCCAGAUCUGGAAAGAUUGUCUCUCUACGGUGACCAAUCUAUCAGGCUGGGACAUACGGAAUAGGUAAAUCAUCUAUCUACUUAUUCUUAUUCUCAAAUCCUCCCUGUAUUGUUUCAAUGAUGAUCAUAGCUUUACAAACAACGCCCUGCAUGCCAUAGAGAUGAACAAUUUUUUUUCCUAACCAAUUGUAAAUCAAAGUGCACAAGCCCUGACCAGUAAGAAACUGGGAACAACACCCAAUAGCUACUGUAGUGAAUCCAAGCUCGUCUUUCCCUUUUUUUUUUUUUUUUUUAAACUCAUGAGCUAUAAAUACAUAAUGAGAUUUUUAGAAUAAAGAUUCAUAAUUUUCUUUUUUUAUUGAAUAUAUAAUUUCAAAGCAUCUUUCUAAAAUAUUAUUUUAUUUCUUUUAAAAAAUAUAUUUAUAUAAGCAUCGAAUUUCAUUAUAAAUCAUGUUCAAAAAAAAAAAUUCAGCAAGCAAGCUAUAAAGGGGUCUAUAUUUGCUUUCAUUAACUAAAAUAGCAAUAGCAACACAAUCCAUAUACAUAGUUGGAAAUUGAUGAUCGUCCUGAUAAUUAAAAAAAAAAAAAAAACAGGAAGCAUUACAAACAACGCCAUAGAGAUGAACGAUUUAUUUUUUUCCAACCAACUGUAAAUCAAAGUGCACAAGCCUGACCAAUAAGAAACUGGGAACAACACGCAAUAGCUAUACUGAACAAAUAAAUCAAACCGCGAAAUACAUGAAACUGGAGACGGUCAACAAAAACCAAACAAGACAAACUUAUAGUGCUGGAACCAUCAUCAUCACCCCAUCUUUUUUUUUUCUCUCUGUCCCCUUUUAGGAACCACAAUUCUACACUUCUCUUCCCACUUUAUCCUCCCAUCUCAUCUCUUUUUUUAUCCCUGUUAAAAAGACCAAAACAGCCCUAAAAAACAACCUUACUUUCCAACAAACCAAAGACAAAACCUACAGUGUUUUACCAGUUACAGUGAUUUCACUGCAUGUUUUAGCUUUUUGUUAAUUAAUAUAUUUUAUGUGAAAAAAAUAAUAUAAAUAUUUAAAACAAAGCUAUUUUCUAACUUUUACACUAAAUAUAUUAUUUUAAACAACGACAAUCUAUACAUUAAAGGGUCUUUUUGAUCCUACUAGACCAACAAAAUUAUAUAAAUAUUUAAAACAAAGCUAUUAAUAUGAUAUUUAUUAUUGAUUAUAUUUUAUUAUGCCUUUCAUUGUUAAAUUUUGUCAUCCAGAUUAUAAUUUGAAGUCGUUGGAGCAUAGUUAUUUGAAUAGCUAAAAUACAUUUUCUUUUACUAAAAUUCUAUUUUUACAUAUCUACGUAGCAUAGCCAAAACCAAAAGGAAAGUAUAUAUACUCGUUAGCCAACAUAUUUUUAUCUAUAAUUAGCAUUUGUUUGUCUCUUUAAAAACAGAACAAUAGAAAAAAAAAGCCUGUAAAUCUCAGAGCCUAAAAAAUUUGAUAGUAUAUAUAAAACUGAAAAUUAAAAAUAUUCAUAAAAUUUUGAUUUUAGAAAUUUAAAAUUUAAACUUCAAAUUAUAUCUUUUAACUUUGAUAUUACUUUAUUAAUUUUAUAAAUUACUUAUAUUAAUUAAUUGUAUAAUUGAUAACAUGAUUGUAUUAUAUAUAAAAUAAUUAAACUAGUUAUAUAACUAUAUUAAAAUAAGUUUAAUAUAAAAUAUAUUAAAAUAUAAUUAACUCUCCUAAAUAACUUUUUACCAUUAAAAUUGGACAUAAAAAAACUAUAUUUACAUCCAUUUUUAUCAAUUUAAUUUUUAACUUCUAAAAAUAGCAUGUCUUAUUGAAGUUGCUCUUAUGCAGAAUUACAAGGGCCAAAGGGAAAGAGACAAAAGAAGUCCAAAAAUAUUUAUUUUAAACAUAGAUGCUUGACUUGAAAAUUCAUUACAAAACACGAAUCAACUCAAUUAAUUGUGAUGUGCGUGGCCCAACCCCUGCUCUUGACAGGAAGGUGCCUCUGCUGCCCAAUGCGCGUUCGAUAUCCCUUUCAUUUCUUUCUCUACUGUUUCUCCACCGAAAGUCCAACUUCUUUACAGUGUAAGAUCCGUAAGAAAAUCAUUGGAAACUUACCAAUACGAGUUCUUGACCUAAAGGAACCGGAAAAAAUUCGAUGUCAUUGGAAUAAAAAGAAAGUCAAGGGCUUUGGAAGUUGGUUACUAAGAUACCAGAAGAAGAAAAAAUAUUGAGCCUGGCUGGAUCUUGUGCCUCUUUAGCCAACACUUACCACACGGUUUGUUUCGUCUAGAUUCGUGUAAUACUUGUAGAAAUUUGGUGUUUUCUGAUUUAUGAGUAGAAUUGUACAUGUUCCAGCUUGAAAUUGCUAAUUGGUAGAUUUAAUUGCCAAAUUUCUUGAUCUUACCUUCUGUUUCAUGUUUGACCACAGGAGCAGGCCUUAUACAAAAUAGCGUGGAAAGCAAUUGCUGAACCAAGCGAGCUAGUUGAAGCCAGAAGGGAUCGGUACUAGUUAAUUUAUCGCUAUAGGGAUUUUCAUGGCUUCCACCAGCGUGCAAGGAAUAACCUCAUCUUCAUCUUCUCCUCCUCCACUAUAUAUGCAUGAUGUGUUCCUUAGUUUUAGAGGCAAAGACACCCGGAACAACUUUACUAGUCAUCUAUGUUCUAAUCUGGCACAGAGAGGCAUCGAUGUGUACGUGGAUGAUAGGGAGCUCGAGAGAGGAAAGACCAUCGAACCUGCUCUCUGGAAGGCCAUCGAAGAAUCAAGGUUUUCUGUCAUUAUAUUUUCACGAGAUUACGCUUCUUCACCAUGGUGCCUGGAUGAACUUGUCAAGAUUGUUCAGUGCAUGAAAGAGACGGGGCACACUGUUCUGCCAGUUUUUUAUGAUGUGGAUCCCUCAGAGGUAGCCGAGCAGAAAGGGCAAUAUGAGAAAGCCUUCGGUGAGCAUGAACAAAAUUUCAAGGAAAACUUGGAGAAGGUCCGGAACUGGAAAGAUUGUCUCUCUACGGUGGCUAAUCUAUCAGGCUGGGACGUGCGAGAUAGGUAAAUCAUCUAUCUACUUAUUCUUAUUCUCAAAUCCUCACUGUAUUGUUUCAAUGAUGAUCAUAGCUUCUUUUUUUUUUUUUCAAUUUAAACGUGUGAUUAAAUAUCGAAAUAAUCACAAUACAACAAGAGUUUCAAAACUAAUUCUUGAGUAAAUAAUUAUUAGUAUAUAUUUCCUGUAAAAUUAAAAAUACUUACCUUAUCUUCAAGGGCUUAUUCAUGCUUCUUCUUUUUUUGUGAUAAAAAAAAAGAAAGUGGUUGGCUUGUUUGUAGAACACACAGAAAGUUGCCUUAUUUAAGCAGCACGAGCAAUGACUUAUUAAAUCACCAAUUUGUGCUUCAGAUCGCGAGUUUCACAUGUUAAUUAUAGUUAUUCCAAGUCGAUCUAGUAUUUUGUCAUCACAAUUAUAUUUUUAAUUAAAUAUAUCAUUCAAUAUAUUAUUAUCUUAAUAUUUUAAAAGUGUUUUUAUAGCAUGUAUUGAAUUUUUUACUGUCAAAUAUUAUUAUAUUUUUUAAAGGUUAGAAACAAAUAAUAGGUUAAAGAACUACACGUUGAAGUGAAGUUUUCAACAAGUGGCAACUUAUCAUUAGUAUUUUUAAAAGGUUAUCAUCUAUGGUUCAGUUUUUAAGGUAUGACAUAUAAGCUACAUGAUUAUUUCUCAAAAUACUAUAGGUGGGAAAAAAACUUUUCAAAGUAGCACGGUUUCAUCCAUAGUUAAAGAAAAAAAUAAGGGAAGGAAAACCCAGCGUGACCCGGGGACCCUGUUAACUCGACAAGACCCGUUCAAAACCUGGUUGCGACCCAUUAAUUUUUUUUUACUCAAACGACGUCGUUUUGAUUUUUUUAAAAAAAAAUUGACCUGGACCUUGGACCGGACCGGCCACCAAGCCGGGUCUCAAAACUAUGGUUUCAUCAAUUGCAUAGGUCUCACUUACGCAACUUGACACAUCCAGGUCUCACAUGUCAAAAAAAAUCUUCCUUUCUUUUUUUGUUGGGUUGGUCCCUCAAUUUUUAUAUUUAGUUAACUUUAGUACUAUUAUUACGAUCAUUUCAUCUAUUCUUCUGCACACAGAAAAAUAUAUGAAUUAAAGUUAAUAUUUAUUUCAAAUGCAAUCGCUAAAAACGAGUUAAUUUUUGCCUAAAAUAUUGUUAUGUUUUUGCCCAACUUAAAUAAAAAUAAGUUUAUAUUAAUGAAAUGAUCAUUAUAUUGAAAUUAAUAUUAAGAUUGUAUGAAAAUUGAAAGGCCAAAUGAAAGAUUAAAUAGAGAAGAAAGAUGAAGAAAUGGGUUGUGAAAAUGGCAUACGUGAUAUCAGUGCAUCUCAAGGUGCGUGAAUUGGAUUUGCGCAACCACUUCAAAGGUUAGUCUGGGAAAUGUUUUUUGGGCUAUGCUAAUAUGGAAAAAACUCAAAAUUUAAUAAAUUUAAAGUUGUUUUUGUAAAGUUAAUUAUGCAAGAUAAUUGAAUUUUUUGUUAAAGAUAAUUAUAAAAAUAACUUAGUGGUCGAAAAAAAAUAUAAUAGAAUUCCAUUUGCUUUUUGGCCUGUUAAAACCAAACUUAAUGGAUAUUUUAUUUCCUAGCUUUUGUCCAUGCUUCUUUAGUAACUGUGUGAUUCCAUAGGCAAUAAGAUAGCUAUUGUAAGGAUCAUUCUUAGCAUCAAUACAAUCCUAGUUCCUUUUUCAGUUUAUUCUUUCCUUUUCCUCUCUGUUCUUGAAGCUAUCUAUUGUCAGAGCCCUAUCUUUCUCAAAGGUUGGUGUAUUAAUUUCCGGCUAACAGCCAUACAUUUUCGAGCUACAAUAUGCUAAUGUUUAUUUUCCUAUUAUCACUAUCUGAUUUGAUUUCUGCACACUGCAUGAUUAAUGUUUUGCACCCUCCUAUGCAGGAAUGAGUCGGAAUCAAUUAAAAUAAUUGCUGAAUACAUAUCGUACAAACUAAGCGUCACUCUGCCAACAAUUAGCAAAAAAUUGGUUGGAAUAGAUUCUCGUCUAGAGGUAUUAAAUGGCUAUAUAGGUGAAGAAGUAGGCAAAGCAAUCUUCAUAGGGAUAUGUGGAAUGGGUGGCUUGGGUAAGACGACUGUUGCAAGGGUAGUAUAUGAUAGGAUUCGUUGGCAAUUUGAAGGCAGCUGCUUCUUAGCAAAUGUCAGAGAAGUUUUUGCUGAGAAAGAUGGACCACGUCGUUUGCAGGAACAACUUCUUUCUGAAAUCUUAAUGGAACGUGCUUCUGUAUGGGAUUCUUAUAGAGGGAUUGAGAUGAUAAAGCGGAGGUUACGACUUAAAAAGAUUCUUCUUAUCCUUGAUGAUGUAGAUGAAAAAGAACAACUAGAAUUCUUGGCUGAGGAGCCUGGAUGGUUUGGUCCAGGGAGCAGAAUUAUCAUAACAAGCAGAGAUAAACAAGUGUUGACUAGAAAUGGUGUUGCUAGAAUUUAUGAGGCUGAGAAAUUGAAUGAUGAUGAUGCUCUUACGUUGUUUAGCCAGAAAGCUUUCAAAAAUGACCAACCUGCUGAAGAUUUCGUGGAACUAUCCAAGCAAGUUGUGGGUUAUGCUACUGGCCUUCCACUGGCUCUUGAAGUUAUGGGUACCUUUAUGCAUGGAAGAAGUAUCCUUGAAUGGGGAAGUGCGAUUAAUAGACUAAAUGAUAUUCCUGACCGUGAAAUUAUUGAUGUGCUUCGGAUUAGUUUUGAUGGUCUCCAUGAAUCAGAUAAGAAAAUAUUUUAGACAUUGCAUGUCUCCUCGAGGAGCAGCAGCUGCAGCUCGAGCAUAAGCUGAUGCUCGAUCAGCAGCAGAAGUUCCAUUAGCAGGUGCUUCAGCAGUGGCGGCAGCAGCAGCUCGAUGAGCAGCUGCUCCAGCAGCAGCAGGUGCUGCUCCAGCGGCAGCAAGUGCAGCAGCUCCCUGGGUUCUGGUUAGGAAUUUAACUUGCUUUAGCUUGAAGAUCUUCGUCAGUUUUUGCUCAUGGUUUUGGUUUGGGGUAAUUAGAUUCACAUUUUACUAUGUAUGGAUUUUCUUCUUAAAUUUAGGAUAAUCUCAUGUUUGCGGAUGGAAGGAUUGUUUCCAUAUUAAAACUUUUACAUGGCGGAAAGCCUGUGCUCUGGAAAAUUUCAACCAUUAUUUUGGAAUAGCUACUCUGCCUACUUUUUUUACUCUGGUUUUGGCGGGUAUAUGUGUUAGAUUUAAAUUAAAAACAAUAUAUAUUUCUAAAAGAUAAAACCAAUAAUUUCUUAUCAAUAUGAUUUUUUUUUCAUCAAUUUUAUUCAGAAUUCUUUGAAAUUAAUUUUUUAUUUAUCCAUAAUUAAUUUUAAGUAUUUUAAUAUUUCAUGUUAUAAUUAAUAUUCAUUCAAAAAAAUAUUUUUCAACAAAAUCUUAACUCAUUAAUUUAAUUUUUUAUUAAAAUUUAAAUACAAUAACUACGUUUUAAAACUAAUUUCUCCUAACUGUCAAAUAAUCAAUUCAAUCUAAUAACUUAAGCUGUUAAGUGAAGUCUCAAGAUAUGAUUUAUAUUAUUCUCUAACACCCCACUCAAGUAGAAGUAUUUUGGACUUGAAUUUGUAUAAGGUCACAUUACCUUAUGUUUAAUUUUUAUUAAAUAAAUGAGAAUGAUGAAAUUUGAACUCGUGAUUGUUUGGUUAUCAAGGCUCUGAUAUAAAUGGCAAAAAUAAUUUUAAAAAAUAUAUAUUAAUAUUGAUAGUUUUUAAUUUAAAUAUUGUAGAUUUAACUAUUGUUAUUACAUCAUGAAAUAAAUAAUACUUUAUAUAAAAUAUGUUUUAUUGUUCCAUUGAACUAUCUACAAUUCCAUCACGUAUGAAAUACAUCCGACAAGGAUUACAGUUUUCACAAAUUUCUUAAGAGCGCAACAACAUCAGGUAAAAUAUAAUCAGGAAUAAAAUUGGAAUUGCUAUCAAAUUCUGCAAAUGUUACGUCAUCAAACAAUCUCUGUCUAAUUAUACACUACAAGAUUUCACAGUUUUACUGAUGGAAAAAUUCCUUCAGUGUGUGAUUAGAAGUUCGUCGAUGAUUUUUUUACCGACGUCAUCACCGACGGAUUACGUCCGUCGGCUUUUCUUUUGUCGGUGAUUUCCCAUUCCGUUGCUAUAUCGGUCGGCAACACAAAAAAACCAUUUGCCGAUGGUUUUACAAACAUGAUUUGUGCGCCAAAAAAAAAAGAUUCCCGCUUGAAAUAUACUGACGAAUUUUUAGUCCGUCGGUGAUAUCGUGAAUUACCGACGACUACUAACCGUCGGUAAAUCUGUCGGUGAGUGUAUGAAAUACCGACCGAAUAUAUCCGUCUGUAAAUUCGUCGGUAAGUGUGGUAGCUACUGUUAAAUGCUGACAGAUUAAUUCCAUCGGCAAGUCUGUCGGUGAGUGUUUAAAAUACCGAUCGAAUGAAUCCGUCGGUAAAAUCCUUGGUAAUAGUUUUUUUCUAAAUUUGUUUUUAAAAAAUUAUUUAGGAUAUAUAAUAUAAAACUAUAUAAAUUAAUUGUAAUACAAACCUAUGCAAAUAAAAUUUAUAUUAAACAUAAAAAAAAAACAAAGUUAAAUAAUAUUCAUUACAAACUGAAUAUGUUUCAAAAAAAAUAUUAAAUGAAGUUUUAAAGGUAAAUAAUGUUUAUUACAAAUUAAUAUAAAGGUGGAGCUGGAGGAGGAGGAGGAGAUCCUGGAGGAGGAGGCUGGAGGUUAUACAGCCAAAAAGGAUUAGGCGCACAUGUUCCACUAUUUGCCAUGUUCAUAACCAUUUCAUGAAGCUGUUCAUAAGCCGCUUUUUGUUGUUCAUACUCCGCUUUUUGUUGUGCUUGAGACGCUUUGAUUUGCUCAGACUCCGCUCUUUGUUGUGCAUAAGACGCUUUGAGUUGUGCGUACUCCGCUGAUAGGUGGUCGUAUUUGUCGGUGAGCUGAGCCGUGUGUUGCUGCAAUGCCACGAACUCCUUAGAUUGGGAGCUCGAUAUUGAUUGGGAGCUCCCAACGGUUGAAACACUACGGGUCGACCACAAGUUGUCGGCCAUUGUGUUGGAGAACCCGUAAACCCGAUUUUUAUCGGGUCCACCUGACGAGCCAACCUCCAUCCACAAAUUCAGAUCGAAUUUUGGAUGGGUCAAAAUAUCGUCCCCGUAUCUCUCCUUCAACCGAUUAUUAUAGGUCUCCUGAAAAUAAAAAAAAAAGUAAUCAUCAUAUUCAAUUCAAUAAACAUAAUAACUUACAUAAUAACUUACAAAAUAAAAUGGUCGAACAAACAUACCACGAAAUGUUGAGCACAGUUAUCAACGAACUGUUGCGCCCCCUUUUAGCGGUCAUGACUCCGCACGUGCGUCUCCACAAACAGCUCCAUCGGGCUCGGCUCACGUCCAAGAGACGCAGCCUAUAAUGAAAAAAGAUAUAUUAACAACAACUUAAUUUAAUGAAAUAUUUCAUUUAAAUUAAUCUUACCAUCUGUUUCACAUGUGCAGCAAACGAAACGGAGCCGCCAGUGUGCGUUGCAACCGAGCCAUGAAUUGGCCGAUUCCGGAUGCCAGCACCAGACUGUGAGCGUCGUGUGAACCGAUCAGACGUCACGUGCUCAAGAUAGUGCGGCCAUAUAUCUUCCAGGAUGUAUAUCGGUUUGAAAUCCCUCCAAACCGCAACAUCAUUCCAGCCUUGGAAACCCCUAUCCCUCACGGUUUGUUUUUCCCUUUUCUGUACUUCAUACCAAAAAUCACGCAACCUACUUCACGCAACCAAAAAUUACAUUUUGAAACAUAAAUUUUAGUCUAAAAAAAUCUUGUAUUUUUUUCGAUCUUACCUAGGUGCCGCGUGAUUUUCCCACACCCUCCUCACAACAGUGUUAUGCUCACUGUCCUAGCAGAAUUUGUGCUAUGUAUAAAUAAACAAGUUUAAAUAAAAACAAUAAUUUAUUUACAAUUAUAUUAAUAAUUUAUUAGAAAUAAGCUGAAAAUUAUAAAUUAACACCAACCUGAAAUCUGCCAAACAUGCAUUGAUUUGAGGCAUCCAUUCAGGAUGCUUGGACAUCUGACUCCAUUGAAACAAUGGAAUCUCCAUCGACGAUUUAAAUGCCGAUGAUAUUACUCGGGUGGCCUCAAUGUUUGUGAACCUGAAAAUAAAUGAAAUAAAUUAAAUAGUGAUUACUUCAUAAAUUAUGUUGUAAUUUUAAAAAAAAAAUUAAACCUUAACAAACUUAUAUUGAAAGGUCGUCCUUCCACUGUGCCUCGUACUUGCGGGUAAAUUGAUUCCACUGCGAAGGCACGCCGCCUCUGCGCUGUGAAGUACCGCUGGAAGAGGCAGCAUCGGUUGACGGCGCAGGUGAUGUAGGUGCCUCUCAAGGAAAUAUCAUCAUCGUUGCUAGACGAACUAGCUGCGACCGUACGUGAGCGACUAGCUCUGGUUUUCAUUCUACGCAUCUCCAUAAUUUUAUACAAAUAAUUAUAUAAUUGAAUUCAAAUGUUAAAAAAAAAUUCGACAGCACCUCCCCUAUACCGGAUACUACUCCCCUAUACUGGAUACUACCCAAAUCCACAAACCUGCACAUAUUAACAAAAGCCACAACCAAUUGACCCAAUCUAUACUAAUUAUUCCAACAUAUUCAAUUACUAAUCCUAAGGUAAAUUCAACAUUAAGAAUUACAAUUCAACAAAUUAUUCAAUAAUUAUGCCAAUACAACAAUAAAAUAUAUUCAAUAAAUAAAAAAAACUGUAGACUGACAAUUAAAAUUAAUUGAAAAAAAUUAAACAUAAAUCAUGCAAUAAUAGAGUAUAAUUAACAAUUAUUCCAAAAUAUUCAAUUACUAAUACAAAGUAAAUUCAACAUUAACAAUUACAAUUCAAAAAAUUAUUCAAUAAUUAUACCAAUACAACAAAACAAUAAAUUAAAAAAAAAACUCUAGAAUAACAAUCAAAAUAAAUGCAAAACAUUAAACACAAAUCAUGCAAUAAUAGAGUAAAAUUAAUAAUUAUUCAAACAUAUUCAAUUACUAAUUCUAUGGUAAAUUCAACAUUAACAAUAAAUAUUCAACAAAUUAACUAAUAAUAAUUAUGCCAAUACAACAAUAAAAAAUAUUCAAUAAAUUCAAAAAACAAAUUAUAGACUUUAGCAAUGAAUUAUGCAAAAACAACUAUAGACUUUAUCUACAUUACAAAAAAUACACCAAAACAAAAAACAUACCAAAAACAAAUAGCAAAAAAAAAAACCCUUAAAGCAAAAAACAUACAUACCUUUUAAACUGAUGGAGAUUCAUGAGAAAAAUUGCUAGAGAUUGCUGGUGAAACCUUUGAAGAACGGAGAGGAAAAGAAUCGGUGAAAAACUGAGGAGAAAAUUGGUGAAAAAACUGAGGAGAAGAAAAAAUGAACUGAAACGGCGGAUGGGGGGACUUAUAUGGCAGUUUUACCGACGGAUUCACCGAUGGAUAUAAAAUUAAUUAUUAUUUUAAUUUAUUCCGUCGGUGAAGUGUCCAAAAUCCGUCGGUAAAUGUUGAAUUUCGCACCAAAAUUUUUAAUGACCCUCCAUAUUUUUCGUGGUCCGUCAGUAAUUCCGUCAGCGAGCUGACGCGGUCACAGAUGCAUUUAAUGCACAACCCUUUGGAAUUCGCGCGGUCCGUCGGUAAUGGCGUCGGUAAAAUUGACCCGCCGACAACUUGCCGACGUACUUAUAUCCGUCGGUAUAGUCGUCGGUGAUUGUGGCAUUUCAAGUAAUUAUUUUCGAACUCCCUGUGAAAUGCCGACGGACUUAAUCCGUCGGUAUGCACGACGGUGAAUAUGGCAUUUCAAGUAAUUAUUUUCGAACUCUUUGUGAAACGCCGACGGACUUAGUUUGUCGGUAUCGACGUCGGUGAUUGUGGCAUUUCAAGUAAUUAUUUUCGAACUCUCUGUGAAAUGCUGACAGACAUAUAUCCAUCGGUACGGACGUCGGUGAUUGUGGCAUUUCAAGUAUUUAUUUUCGUGUUACAAAAUAUAUCAUCCAUGAUCUAUAAUUAUUUCAAGUAAUUAUUUCGUGAUUGUGGCAUUUCAAGUAAUUAUUUCAAGUAAUAAAUAUUUCGUGUUACAAAAUAUAUCAUCCAUAAUCUAAAUUACAUGAAAGAAAGGGUUUUACACAGGGCUUAAAUUUGAUUGUUAGUCAGAAUUUUCUUCUUCUUCGUCAUAAAUUGAAUUGUCAUCACCCUCAUCGCAAUCUUCAAUAUGGAUAUUGUCUUCUUCAUCCACAUUUGCUUGUCCGCUAGAGCUUAAAACAACAUUCAACUCCUCUGCGUCAACAUCAACAAGACUAUCAUCGAAAACACAAAAAAUUGAAUUUUCUUCCAAUUCAAUCGAAGGAGCAACUCGAUAUGGUUCAACCAGCUCACUAACUUGAAAGACUUCAUCUCGCACACUUGUGUCUUCGUUCUCAUCCUGAACAACCUCGACACGACCCCGGGGUUUUGUUUUUAAAACGGACAACCAAUCCACUCUUGAUUGAUCCUUUCUAAAUGAAGGGGUGUAUGUGUAAUAAACUUGUUGACAUUGCUUUGCGAAAACAAAGACAUCGUUUAUGUUGCGGAGUCUAGCUUUUGAGUUGAUUUCGACCAGACCAUAGUGCGGAUCAACUCUGAUUCCUCUGUCAGUCGUGUCAUACCAAUAGCAUUUGAAUAAAAACACUCUAUUCUGUUCGUUAUGAUAUUGCAGUUCGACGACCUCUUCUAAUCUACCAUAGUAGUCAACUUCUAACUCAUUACUAGUGGAUCCCUUAACACAAACACCGCUGUUGUAUGUCUUUCUUCCUUGCCCAUAUUCUUCAGUAUGGAAAACAUAUCCAUUGACAAAAUACCCAUUGUAGAACUUACAUUUUCUUCUAGGCCCAGGCUUAGUGAAGACAAUGACUUAGGCGCACUCAUUUCCAUUUGAUAAACCUUGUAUGUAAUGUACAUCAAUAAACAGUAAAUGAAUGAGAAUCUCGUAAUGACAUGCAUACGUACAGUAAUUUUGCAAGCUAGGAUGAGUUUGUGAUAGUGCUUACAUGUGUUCUGAACCACGUGGCAAACUGUUCAUCUUGUAAUUGAAAGAUCUGGGAUUCGGUCAGCUAUGAGUUAUUGGAGAGCAAAUAUUGUCGAUGUUGCCUACAAGUGAUGAUGAGUGUAUGAUAUUACAAUAUAUAAUUAACAGUAUAUUACUAACAAAGUUUAAUUAGUAUAAACUUACUGAAUAAAAGGUCUCAGCUCAUCACAGUAAAUAGAACAUAGUUGUGUGCUUGUUUGAACUCUAUUUCCGAAAAAUAUCUUCCUCUUACGACAUUUUUAGGUGUGGGUCGUCCAGUAUUGGAGAAUAUUGACAAGUUCCCACUGGAAGGCACUUCACCGCCAUCAUCAUGCAGUGGAACGCGAUUGAUUCUCGUUCUCAGAUGAGGUUUGAAAUAGUACAAGAUAAAUGUUGAGAUCUCCUCAACAAUAUAGGCCUCACAUAUCGAAGCCUCAACAUGCGCCUUGUUCUUAACCUUUUUCUUGAGAUUAAACAAGUACCUGCAUUGAAAUAUUAAUCAAGUAUUUUCAAUUAAGAAAAACAUAUAAAAUACUUUUAUAUAUGAAUUACAUUGCAACUGUAAUAUCUAAUCGUUCGAAUGGGUACAUCCAUCUAUAUUGGACCGGUCCUCCAGCUUUUGCCUCGAACGGUAGAUGUAUAGGGAGAUGCUCCAUUAAGUCAAAAAAUGAUGGAGGGAAUAUCAUCUCAAGUUUGCAUAGUGUCUCGACGAUAUUCGUUUGAAGCCUCUCAAUGUGAUCAACAUUCAACUUGCUGGAGCAUAUAUCUCUAAAGAAAUGACUGAUCUCCGUGAGUGCAUCCCAUAUUCCCUUUGGCAACAAAUCACGAAAAGCUAAUGGGAUGAGUGUUUGCAUAAACACGUGGCAGUCAUGACUCUUCAUUCCAUACAAUCUGCAGUCCUCUAUAUUAACCAACCUUGAUAUGUUCGAUGCAUGUCCAUCCGGAAAACGCAGACUCUUAACCCAUUUGUAGACUAGUAGUUGUGCGUUUUUCUCUAACACAAAGCUUGCUCUUGGUUUUGCGACCCGUGACUCAUCAUAAACCAACUCCAUAUUUUUACGGUUACAGUAUAAAGCUAUAUCCAAUCUAGCCUUGAUGUUGUCCUUUGUCUUCCCCUUCACAUCCGUGAUGGUGUUGAAAAUGUUCUCAAACAUGUUCUUUUUGAUGUGCAUGACGUCAAGGUUAUGGCGGAGCAGAUUGGUCUUCCAAUAAGGAAGCUCCCAAAAGAUACUUCGCUUUACCCAAUUAUGGGUCAAACCAAAACCGGGAAACUUUUGCUUACCUGAUUGAAGGCCAAACACAAUGUCACCGUACUCUGAGACAACAUCAUACAAUUCUUCACCAGAAAGAUGCGGGGAUGCAACAUCUUUUUCAACUCUGCCAACAAAGAAAUCUUUUCUGUUCUUUCUGUACCUGUGAUUAAGUGGCAAGAAGCAACGGUGACAGUCAAAAAAAGAAGCUUUACCUCCAUUUGCUAGCGUGAAUGCCUUGUUGUUUUCCAUGCAGUAUGGAUAUGCGAGUAUCCCAUGCGUGCUCCAACUAGAAAGCAUUCCAUAAGCUGGAAAAUCAUUGAUAGUCCACAUCAAAGCCGCCCUCAUAAGGAAAUUUUGUUUCCUCGAUAUAUCAUAAGUCAGAGCUCCGAAGGACCACAACUACGCCAACUCAUCAAUCAACGGUCGAAGACAAACAUCUAUAUUCCGCCCCGGGCUGCUUGGACCAGGUAUGACAGUAAAUAAAAACAUGAACUCCGACCUCAUACACAUUCCCGGUGGAAGUUAUAAACUGUGAGUAUGACCGGCCAACAAGAAUAAGGAGCAGCAAAUGACCCAAAUGGGUUGAAUCCGUCUGUACACAACCCAAGACGCACAUUCAUUGAUUCAGCUGAAAAGUGAGGAUGGACACUGUUAAAGCGUUUCCACGCUUCGCCGUCAGAAGGAUGAACCAUCACUCCAUCAACCGCAUGGUGUGCUUGGUGCCAUGUCAUGUGCUCAGCAGUCCUUGGUGACAUGAAUAACCUCUGCAGUCUAGGUGUGAUCGGGAAGUAUCUAAGUUUUUUAUAUGCCACUAGAGUCUUUCCCCUGCCAGUUCUAGGUUUGUAACGGGAAUGCCCGCAUGUCAUGCACUCAGUCAUCUCAGCAUUUUCAAGGUAGUAUAACAUGCAGAAGUUAGGGCACAUGUUAAUUUUCUGGUAUCCUAAACCGAUGGGUUUCAUCAUGGACUUCGCAGCAUAGAAGUUCUCUUUCAGCCUGUUCUCUUCAGGUAAAAUGCUUCUUGCCCAUUCAAUAAUCGUGGGAUACCCGGCCUCACUCAACCCGUGAUCUGACUUGAUGGUGAACACCUGUGCUACGACCGAUAAUUUACUGUGAUUCGUGCAGCCAUCCCAUAAUGGUUCGUCAGAAUCUUUCAACAAAUCAAAAAACCUAGCUGCAUCUACAUUAGGUUCUUCUUUUACGAUUGGACAUUAACUGACAUUACCUUGAUUCAUUCUCAUUGCAUCCAUAACCAUAUUUCUGUAAGGAUUAGUGUUGUCAUUUGCCGCUUCAUGCACGUUGCUAGCACUAGAAGUAGACCUAACCACCGUUUCUUCCAUUCUCCUCUCACUAACAUAUACUUCUCCAUGUGCAUACCAACAAUGGUAAUUCUCCAUAAACCCUUUGUGUAGAAGAUGCAUCAUUACAACAUCUGGAUGCAUAUACUUUUUAUUUUGACACUUCCUGCAUGGACACCUAAUACCGCCUCCAGUAAAAUUUCUAGGAAUAGAUGUUGCGAAAUUAAUAAAACCCUGAACCCCGUUACAAUAAUACAUCCUCCGCAAUCCUUGGGGUGAAUCUCGAUACAUCCAUGAUUUAUAUCGAACCUCUAUAAAAUUAUGAUGACAUCAUGUAUUAAUUAACUAAGUUAGGUAAAUAAACUUGCAAAAAUAUUACUUUACCUCGAGAUUAUCCAACAAACAAAUCACAACUUCUCAUAAAUAUUAAAUAUUCAUUAUCAUUUAUCAACGUCCAUACAAAUUAAAAUAUAUAAAUUUACAGAAAUUACCACUCCGCAAUACCAUUGAUAAAACUUUAAACGGACCCAUUAAGCAAGCUAUUAAUUAUUUCAAAACAGCACAUGUACUUCGGUAGUUCCAUAAAGUUUUAACAAUUUACAAACAAAUACAAUCUUACAAAAUCUAAAACAAACCAUAACAGGUAUAGAAUUAUACAUUCAUAUACUACAAGUUUGUUUGAGAAAUAACAAUAAAACAUGUACAUCUACUAACAAAAUACAUAUACUAAAAAAACAAUAAAAUUGACAUUUAAUUAAAUGUUAAAAUUUAAAAAGAUAGAAUUACUUACAAAAAUUGAUAAAAUCCGUCGGUAAAUUAGAACACGGAUGCUGUGACCACAAAACUUCAAGAAAUAUAACUUGUUGUGCUGAUAUGAGGGAGAUUUUUGUUUGGGGGGGGGAGGGGGGGUUGGUUGUUUGCAAAUGGGGAGAGUUGGGAUUGGGAAGAAGAAGGAGAAAUAGGGGAGGAGAGCGUCGGUAGAUCGAACAUAUAUUAACUUUUCCCGACGGUUUCACCGACGGACACUCCGUCGGUGAAACCGUUGAUGAUUCUGACGGAACAAUCGACACGUCACCGUACGAAUCUGCCAUUUCAAAUCCGUCGGUGAUUCUGUCAGCAAUAUAAACGGUGGUCACUGUACAAGUUGUCUUUUUGAAUCCGUCGGUGAUCCCGUCUGAAAAAAUAACCCGCCAAAACCUCCACGUCAGUGACCCGCCUUUUUUUUACGAGGGAAACUUUUCCGUCCGUAAUUCAGUCGGUAACUACCGAUGGAAAUUUUCCGUCAAUAGUUACAGACUGAAUUACGAAUGAAAUAUUGUCCAUCGGUAAUUUCAACCUCAAAUUACCGACAGAAAUAUUCUGUCGGUAAAUCCGUUGCUAUUUAGCGAAUUUUUGGUAGUUAACACUAGUUUUUCGAAUAAAACACAAUUAAAAAAAAAUAUUUUUUUAUUUUUAUUUUGCCGGGUCGAGCCCGGUUCAAUGCAUUUUUAGCUUUGGACCGGACCUGAUCCGGCCGGAACAAUGGAGAAUGCCUCCACUGUUCAUGUGAACAGUAGAGCCAUGCUCAACUGUUCAGUGAUUCCUCCCCCAAAAGAAACAGCAAAAUUGUGCUUCUACAAAACCUGUAGCAUAGCCAUAUUUCUGGUGGGUUCUACAAGCAUAAACUUGUGUUUUUUCCUUAACCAAACAGUAAUAUCUGUGGCUGCGAAUGAACCUCACCCACGACCACACUACCAAACGGGCGGCAUCUUUAAUUUGUUCCUUUUACUUAAUAAGUGUUUGUUUUUUUCUUCUCAAAAACAGAAAACCACCUUCGAUAUGCAGUGCAACAUUUCAUGCCCCAAGUUAGCUAGCUGCUUCAAAACCCUGAAAUAUUGGAAAUUAAAGUUUGCUGGUAGUAAUUUUAGGUUAUAUCUUUGUGAACAUCUUGGAUUCAAUUUGCCAAAUUCUCAGUUAUUCUUGAAUUAACAUAAAUCUUGCAACUCAAGAUAAUUCUUAUUAAUUUUUUUUACAAAGACUUAUUUUUAUUAAUUUAUAUUUUGGAUUUUAUAUAUUUCCUUUUAUUUUUUAGUUAAAUAUAUUUUUAUUUUUUUUACUAAUUAAUAAACUUCUAUACUUUUCUCUUAGAUGCACCAACAAUUUUUAUUAUUAAUAACUUUAUAUUUACAACUAUAUAAACACACACACACACACACACACAUAUAUAUAUAUAUAAUCACUUACUCCAAAAUUGGACUUGCUUCGUUUGUAACUGGUUUGAGACAAAAAUAAUAAAAUUUAAUUCUACAUUCCUAAUUAUGCUCUGCAAAUUACAAACAAUAAAGAUUAAUAAAAUUAUAUGCCAAAAUUAUUUUUCUUUGUUAUUUCUAAUUGGCCCAACUUUAUCUUAAGAAUCCACCCAGGACUUGCAAUUUAUAACCCCAAGCCCUUGGAAACUUUAGAGAUUAUACAAAUGCCCCUUCUAGUCCUAGAUUCAUUGCAACACAUGUAGUGAAAAGAGAGAAACAAACAAGACGAUUUAGCCAAAAACCUCAAAGAAGGUUUAUGCAGGGUUUAAGGCGGCCGGUAUGCUAAUACCACUAUCAUACCCUCUCUAUGAACUCAUUUCCUUUCUCAAAUUGCAUUACCCGCGCAUUUUAAUUCAUUUCUCAAUCACUUCAAUUCCAUUUCUUUUUUUCUUUUUUCUUUCUCAUUUCCUUUAAUUAGAGUGCCAACUCCCGUAUAUUUUCUACCAAAAAUUUUGAUCCUUUGAUUACUUUUGAUAAGAAACCCACAAUUCUAUCUCUAAACCAUCCACAGUUAUGUGGAGAAACGUCGCAAAACAAGCCACUUUGAAAUCCCAAUCAAAGUCCCUCAAUUUCCCUUCAUUUCCAAGAACUUACAGCUUUUUAGGAGCCUCUAAAGAACCCAUCUUUUUUGAGAAACUUAAGUUCCAUUCGCUUAAUAACACAAGUCCACGACUGAGUUUUCGAGCAAUUGGCGAAAUAUCAACCCAUGAAGAUUUUAUGGGAAAACCCCGUUUUAUUUUUUUGAGAAAUAGUGAUAGUACUAAUGGGAAUCGGUGUGCUGGAUUUUGUCCAAGAGGGUAUGUGAGUGUAGUUGAGGCAGUGUCAUCAACAGAUGUUGAAGAUAAUGUGUAUGGUGCGGAUGAAGUGCAAGAAUUGCUGCCAGAAAUGAGGAAAGAAGAGGAGAAAGAGGAGCACUUUAGGAGGAGGCUACAUGCUAACCCUGGAAUAGGGUCAAGGAAGCAUAGGGUCUUAAGGAGAAGGCAAGUGAAGAUUGAGGCGGAAGCAUGGGAACUGGCAACGAAAGAAUAUAAGGAGCUUUUGAAGGAUAUGUGUGAGCAUAAGUUGGCUCCUAAUUUGCCAUAUAUGAAGAGUUUGUUCCUUGGUUGGUUUGAGCCUUUUACAGAUGCAAUUGCGAAAGAGCAGGAGUUGAUUAGAACGGGGAAGAGUAGGCAGGGUUAUGCUCCGUAUUUUGAUCUGUUACCAGCUGACAAGAUGUCUGUUAUUGCAAUGCAUCAACUCGCAGCAAUGGUAAUGACAGGUAGGGAAGAUGGAUGUGCAAGAGUUGUGACUGCUGCUUGUAUGAUUGGUGAUGCAAUUGAGCAGGAGGUAAGUAAUUUUUAAUGUUUUAUUUGUUUAUUUUUACUUGCGGUUUGAUUUGUAGACAGAGGAUAAUGAGUGCCCAUAUAAAAAUAUUGAAAGAUAAGGGAAAACAUAAAGUUUCUUAAAUUUAAUUUUAGACAACCUUCAUCUGAGGUGAUGAACUAGGAAGAAAGAUGAAAGUUACUAUGUACAAUUAUGAGAUAAAAAUCAGCUAUGGAGCUAGUAGUGCCUGGAAAAUUAGAUUUUGAAGUUACGUUCCGUAAAGUUUUGUCGAAUGUUGAAUGGGGUUUUUCUGGAUUUCUUUUUUAUAUAUCUAUAGUUUUUACUUUCAGUCCAAGUUCUUCUGCUGUUCAUGGUUCCAGGGAGGACACUAAAUGUAGGUACGAAAAACAAUGUAGUGUAAGAUCCUUUAGAUACUAAGUUUUUACAAUUUUUUCAUUAUGUGUUAAACUUUUCAUAUCACGGGCCUUAUUAGGCUGAAUAUUCUAUUACGCCUUUCUUUUUUGAGCUACAAUUUCUUCAAAGCAUGGGCAUGGUGGACUCAUAAGAGUGACAUUCAACUUUCCAUUCUUAAUCCAUUUUUUGGACCUCCUACCUCUUCAGUCUUGUUCUCUUUCUUUGAACUGAGGACUGAAUCUGUAACAGUUUCUGUGAUGAAACAGAUUAGAAUACACAAUAUCUUGGAGAAAACAAGGAAGAAAAAGGAAAAGGCUAAUGAUAGCAAGAAUGGUGUAGAAGGUGAAUCCCCUGCUGUCAUGGAGGAACAAGAAAACCUAAGAAAAAAGGUUACUGAUUUGAUUAAAAAACAAAAGCUGCCAGCUGUGAGGAAGAUUGUGAAGGGGAAGGAUGAUUCAAAACCAUGGAAUGCAGAUGCUAGGGCUAAGGUUUGUGUGCUUGUAAUCAUUGAUAAAGGCUAAUUUUCUUGAACAAAUGUAUCGUGUACGAAUUUGAUUUCUGUCCUUGCACUUUGCAGGUUGGAAGCCGUCUAAUUGAAUUGCUGUUACAAACAGCUUAUAUACAGCCUCCCUGUGAUCAGUUAGCUGAUACUCCAUCUGAACCUCGACCUGCAUUUUUACAUACAUUCAGAACUGUGUCGUAUGAAAAUAAGCAUGGAGUCAUUCUUUAAUUGACUCGAUGAGCUCAAUUUAUAUUUUCUUCCUUGUAAUUGCUUCUGACUGAUGCACAAUGGCCUUUUCUCAAACAGGAAGGGCGCAAAAAAAUAUGGUGUUAUUAAAUGUGACCCACUAGUCCUCAAAGGCCUAGAGAAAACUGUGAGUAACCCUGUCAAAUUUUGUUCUUCUAGUGAUAUCUAGUUUUCAUAUUUUAUCAUCCUUUAUGACAUGAACUUGUGUCGGGGUGCCAUAGACUUUCAAAGCAGAUAGGUUAGUUUCUAGAUUUUAGAGCUGAAACAGAUAAGAUUUGUAGGCAAUUUCCAUGGUGCUUCUUAAGUUGCAGAUGUUUGUCUUUCAUUCUUUUUUCUUGCACAAGAAGUCAUAAAAAUGUUGUUUCUCCAAACAGGCUAGGCACGAGGUGAUUCCUUAUAUGCCAAUGUUGGUGCCACCACUUACAUGGAGAGGGUAUGUUAACUUGUUUUAUAUUUACAGUUUUUCCACGAUUGUCUUGUUUUAAUUUUAUAUUUUUUAGUUGGAUAUAUUCCAAGUUCAGAAAUAUUAACAUAGUGUUUUGGUUACUUCUGCUUGAUGCCUGGAGCUGUUUUCAAUUUUCAUGUCAAGUUAAAUACUUAAAAUGGUAUAAUAGAUGAAGGGAUGAAUAUCUGAUUAUAAAGGCUGGAAUUCCAAUCCAAUUUCAGUUAAUUGAAAUUAAUAUUUCAGCAUGUUUCAAGGCUCUGCCUCUCCAUUUCUGUAACCUGCAUUGGAAGGGAAACUAAUUGUCUUGCAGGUGUUUAUUGAAAACAUGGUGAAUGUGAGAUAUGAGAUGGAAGGUUUUGUCUAGGAUUCUCAACAAAACAGAGAACAGUGUCUUUAAACAUUGAAGAGCAUUUGCUAAUCACAACCAUGUCUAAUACGGGAAAAUUAACAUUAUUGCCACAGGCAGGAGAAUUUAGAGAUUGCUAUGGAAUUCUUUAUUAUAAUGUUUUUGAUGUUAAAGGGAGAGGUAUACUUCAUGGAAAAGAAUGAUUGGCAGUUAGAGAUAAAAUAUAGAGAAAGAAAAGGUGUUAGGUUUUCUUCAAGGAUGCUGUGGUGGAUUAUUUUAGCGGAAGAAAAGAUAAGAGUAGCGAAUUGUUGUUUUCAUGUGAAGUCAGACACCUAGUUAAUUUAGGAUUAGGAUAGUACAUAGAGAACUUGAUUGAAGUAGUUCAGUUUCUUUAGGUGAUGAUUCAUAGAUAGGUAUUUAUUUUAAAUUUCAAAUGUGCCAGAAGUGCAAGGAGACAAUAGAUGAUUACAUGGGCAAAAUGGCACAGACGGAUCUCUGCAGUCAAACUGAGAUUUUUGAACCUUAUUGUUUCGCAAGUUAGUUAGGAUAUGUUUUUCAUGGACUUUGGUUAAGUUUUUCAUGAAUAGGUGAUCACAAUCCUCAUUGGAAAAACUACACAUGCUUUGGAAUAUGAAGAGGCCUCUAUGGCAGCUUCUGCCAUUCAACCUAUUGCCUUUAAAUCUGAUAAGCUCCCUAGCGCUUUUGGUUGUAAAUUGCCCAUUAGGACUGAGAUUCCUGGACACACUUUCUAUCUACAAAAAGAAAAGAUUUAAACCAGUGAUUGCACUCUGAAUAUCUUAAUUUGAUCAGAUUGAGCAUCAGACGAAAACCAUUCCAUGAAUUGGUUUUGGGGAAAGAGCACUUUGUUUACUAGCAAGUUUAUAGGGGGUCUUGGCUCUUUCACUCAAUCAUCAUGCAAGUUGCAGGAGGCACAUUAGCAUAGUCCCCACUAAAAUUAAUUUUAGAUCCUUGUAUACAAAUUUGGAAGAUACAAAUUCUUCAUACAUGUUCCUUACAUAUGCUACUUUAAUCUGGAAUUUAAUGAGUUUGUGGUUGGAUUCUGGUUCCCAUGUAGUUGUAGCAACUCUUAACACCACUAUAGCUUCUAGUAACAAAUCAGGACCUGGCAUUUAAGUAGCUUUUUGGUGUGUUCUAAGCUCUUCUUAGAUAAUUGUGUCAUAGCUCUCUUACUCGUGUCGAGCAUAACCUCAAUGCCCUUUGCAGUUAUGAUAAAGGAGCUCACUUGUUCUUACCAUCCUAUGUCAUGCGGAUACAUGGUGCUAAACAGCAACGUGAAGCAGUUAAGACGGCACCUAGGAAGCAGCUACAACCAGUUUUUGAGGUCUGUACAUAUUAGAUGCAUUGCAUGGUUACUGAUGCAUAUUUUAUUGUUUGAACUAAAUCAUCUUUUGGUACUAACAUGUGAUGUUCUUUGAACAAAAUCUCAUACUGAUAAUUUUGUAUACCUUCACAUGCUAUCACAUGUGUAGAUUUUACCAGCUUAGCUUCUGGUUUAACAAGGAUUCUCUUUUGUUUGAAUUAAUUUUCCAGGCCCUGGAUACACUAGGGAAUACGAGAUGGAGGGUAAAUAAGAGGGUACUUAGUGUUGGUGAUAGAAUAUGGAGUAAUGGAGGCUGUCUUGCUGAUUUGGUAGACCACAGUGAUGUGAGUAUCUUUUCGAAUAUUUCUUUUGAAGCUUUUGAAAAGAAAUAUUAACAUUUAUCAUUCAUUUAUGCACUUUUGACCAAAUUUUUCUUUUGCUUUUUUAUGUUGUCCCACUGAGAAGACCUUUUUUGUUCUUUUGUGUGAAAAAAAAAAACUAAAUAAACUAAUUUCAGUUUUUAAAUUCUAAAACAGAUUGAACCAGAUGAAGUCAUAGACUAGUCAUUAUUAUUAUAUUCCCAUUAUUAUUUAUUAUUCUAUAGAUUUUUCGAAGCUUUUGAAAAGAAAAAUAAACAUUGAUCAUUCAUUCACUUUUGAAAAAAAAUUCUUUUGCUUUUUUAUGUUCCACUGAGAUGGCCUUUUUUUUUCUUUUGUGAAUUAUGAUUUGACGUCAAACCAGAUGGAUUAUCAGCUGCAGCCACAAUUAUUUGAUGCAUAGCAAAAUAAUUAUUCAGAAUCACGGUACCUUGGCAGUCCUUUCCAGCCAAAUUGAUGCGUUGCGUGCUAAUCCGAUGAAAAUCAAGAUCCCAAAGAGGGUGAUGCAGCUGAUGGUUGGUUCUCUUCCUUCUUGUGAGUUUUUACAUAAUAAAAUAGCGGCCUUAAUUACGAGAGUACUUCCAUUUUUACAUGAAAAAUGGCUGCGAUUUCCUUUCGUUAUUUAUUAAUCUCUAUCACGACCACAAAAUUACUAAACGCCGACCGAAUAUGAUACAAAAGUGCACUAAUUUUUUUUGGUUUAUUAAAGAUUAUUGGAGUGCAUCUUCCUUGGAUAAUUGUAGACUUUAUUUUCCUAAUUAAUAAAAAAGAUUUUUAUCCAUUGUGGUAGCUUUAAUGCUUUAUAAAUAAAGUAUUGAUCAUAAGAAUUCUAUCAUCCUUACUUUUUCUUGUUGUCGAUUUCAAUGGCCAGUGAAUCUAACUAUAACAUCCGAAGAAUAUAUUGCUUUAGUCAUAAUCUGGUCAUAGAUGAUUUCCCCAUCACAAGCUAUAAGUGCCUCUAUAUAUAACCCUAAUCCCUUCUCUAUGCUUCUUGACAGCUUAUUAAAAAAGGUUCAAGAUUGGGAAUAACAGGUUUGCUCCCUCUGUGAUCUCAGGUUCGAGUCCUGUGGUUCAAGGGCGAAGCUAGGAUUAUUUGAUAGGGGGGCCAAAAUAAUAUAAAAAUAUAUAAUUUUUUUUAAUUUAUUGUAUAUGAAUUGUUAAAAAAAAACUGCAUGAUUUAGUUUUAUUUAAAGAAGUAACUACAAACAUAUGACAAUUUUUGUAUAAGAUAAGAGGUUUAAAACAAUAUCAAAUUGAGUCAAAGUUAAGAAGUUAAUUUCAUCUUCAUAAUAUAUUCAUCACUUUAAUUUUGUUGGUCUUUGUACCUAUCAAAUAUAAACAUACAAAAUAUAUAAGAAACAUUAGCUAAAGCGAUGCAUUAUUUAUGUUUGAUAAAACUUUGAAAUAAAGUAAAAAAUAAUAAAGAAUGAUUCUUACAUAUUUAUUUUAAUUGUGCUCGUCGUUCUUUCAUAGAGUAGAAAUCAUCGAUUAUUAUAUCACUUGUGAAUCUUUCAGCAAUUUCUUUUUCUAUAUAGACAAUCAAAUAAUUUGCAAGAAAAUCAUCCUCCAUCCGAUUGCGAAGUUUUAUUUUAACAAUCUUCAUCGCUGAAAAAGCUCGUUCAGUAGUUGCUGUCGAAACAGGAAGAGUUAAAAUAAGCCGAAUCAACCUGUCAACAAGUGGAUAAAUUGUUGAUUUUUCUGUUUCAACCAAUCCUUGACAUAAUUCAGCAAUCGAUGACAUAUUCUUUAACUUUGGAUGAUUGGGUACAUCAAGCUCAUAAUGCUGCAACUGAAAUCUCAAAUGAGUUUUUUCUUGGUCAGAAAAGUCUUCAGGAUAGAACUUGUCAACAAGUAAGCAUAUAUCUUCAACAUUGAAUAAUUUAUAGUUAUUUUUAGGAUCUAAAGCUGUGCUCAACUUAAGAAGCUCGAUUGCCUGCUCAUUGAAUCUAUUAUUUAGCUCUUGCAACUGUUGAUCAAUGAUAGCUGUAAACAUAUCAACUCGAUAGUGAUGCUCAACUGUUAUUGAUUUUGUUUUACGGCGAGAUCGUCCCACACUAGAAAAACAAGCAUCCAUAUCAGGAACUUCAAUGUCUUGAUGCUUACAAAAUGAUAUCACUUCUUCUAAAAGAGUUUCCCAGCCAUCAUCUCUUAACUUCUGAAUUAAAGUCUUUGUGGUAGUCACCAAAUGCAUAGCAUUUAAAAUGUCUUGAGAUUUCUGUUGCAAAGCUUGGCAAAGCACAUCAGUAAUUCCCAUAACAUUCUUCAUUAUAUGCAAGAUGAAUGCAAAAUCAAAUGACAUUAGCAACUUAAAUGAAAAAGCUGCAUCACCACAUUGAGAAUAAGUAGAUCCAUCUAAAGCGAUGUUUUCAAGAACCAAGCAAGUUGCCCCAUACAUUUUUAUCAAACUGCAAAUUGAUUUGAAGUGCGAACUCCAUCUGCUAUCUCCAGGUCGUUGCAAACCACCUACUUGAUUAACUCCUUUACCCGUUUCAAUCUCACCAAUAUCAACUAAAUGUUCAAUUGUAGCUGCUUGAAAAGCCCGCAAUUCAUCAUUACGCUUGCAAGAAGCACUAACAAUGUUAAUAAUAAAAAUCAAGUUCUGAAAGAAAGUGUGAACAUCAGAUAUUUCUCUAGCUGCAGCAAUAAGAGCCAAUUGUAAUUGAUGAGCUAAGCAAUGUACAUAAUAUGCAUAAGGGCCAUCAUUAAUGAAUAAAGCUUGCAAUCCAUUCCACUCUCCACGCAUAUUACUAGCACCAUUAUACCAUUGGCCCCUAAUAUUUUGAACAUCAAGAUUGUGAUGAUAUAAAACAAAGAAAAUCUCUUUCUUAAGAGUUGAAGCAGUUGUAUCUUUGACAUGAACUAUAUCCAAAAAUCGUUCUCGUAUAAAUCCACUUCUAUCAACAAACCUUAUAACAAGGGCCAUUUGCUCUCUUCUAGAUUCAUCUCGAGCUUCAUCAACAAUUAAGCAAAAUCUUGCAUCACCAAUGUCAUGACGAAUUGAAGACUGAACAUUUCUAGCAAAGACAUGCAAAAUUUCUUUUUGAAUUUGAUGCGAGGUGUAUUUAGCAUUUUGUGGAGCAUUAUUCAAAACAAGAGCACCUACUUGUUCAUUGUAUGAUGCUAAAAGUUCCAACAUUUCAAGAAAAUUACCUCGGUUUUUUUAUUCUGGACGUUCAUCAUGUCCUCUAAAAGCACAUGCUUGAAAUGUGAGCCAACGAACAAUAUCUAUUGAAGCUUUAAUACGCAAUCGAUUAUUUAGAAUUUCUUGAGUAGUUUGCCUCUUAACUACCUUCUCAAUAUGACAUGACUGAUUUCUCAAAUUUUCCAAGCACCUGGUAGCAAAUCUAUGAGCUGAAUUCGGAUUUUUUCCCAUAUGAGUUAAAAAAGCACAUCGUUCCCCGUCAUUAACUUUCUUCCAACAAUUGAAUCCUUUAAUAGUAAAUGUGUCUGAUCUUGGCUUUCCAGAUGACUUACUUGAAAAUAGAUAGCAAGGGAAACAAAAUGCAGUAUUUUUCUCUGAAUAUUCAAGCCAUGGAUAACUUUUGAACCAAUGAAACUGAAAUCGACGAGGAUGUUUUUUACCAGUCAGCGGAUAUUCAGACAUCAAAGGUUGAUAUGGCCCCAAAUUAAUGUAUGCCCUUCUAAUUUCAUCUUGUUGAUUAACCGGGUAUUCCCAAAUUUGAGGACGAUUGCUUGGAUCUCUAAUCAGAUGAGUAGUGUCGAUUCUAGUUGGAGGCCGCUCGUUAAUCAAUGCAGGUUCUUCAUAAACUGAAGCAUAUUGGAGUUGUUCAACUAUAACUUCAACAUUACACAUUGGAGUUGAUUCACUAGGCUGUGAGUUAUCAAUAUUUUUUCUCUUUUUCUCAAAAAAGGAAUCAAUUCUUCUUAUUUUGUUCAUGGUUCAACCUAAAAUCAAAACAUCAUAAAUUUUUAUUGUUUCCUAUUUAAAAAAUAAAUACAAAUAACAAUGUAUUGAAGCAAUAAUCAGAACCAAAAAUAAAUUUUUACAUGUAAACAACACUGACAUAUAAAAGUAAAAUUAACAUAUUAAAAAAAGAAAUUGAUAUAUAAAAGCAUAUCUAACAUAAAAAAUGGGAUUACUGGUUCCUAAAUAAGAAAACUUACACUGAAUCAAAGUUGGGUAUACGCUCUUCAAAGAACUCAAUUUGGCUAGAAAGAUCGUGUCUAAUUGUAUAUUGGACCUGGUGAUAGUAAGGUACACGUGAGAAAAAAUUGAUAAUUUUGGUGGCUCUGCUAAAAACAAAACAUAAAAAAAUCCAAGCAUAAUCGAAACAAACAAACCCAUAAAAUAUAUCCAAUUAAUUAGAAAAAACAAUAUUCACUAUAACAAGAAAUAAAAAAUGGUAAAACUAGUAAAUUUGAAAAAAAAAGCAGAAUUAUAUAUAUAUAUAUAUAUAUAUAUAUAUAUAUCAAAUUCUUAACAAACAUAAAAAAAAAAAAAGAAUUACUAAUUACCUUGAUGAAGAAUUAAUUGGCAGCAGCUUUGCUUUACCUUUAUGCUUUGUAUUAGUAAUAUUUUCGGUUAGGGUUGCAGAGAAGAAAGAGAGAGAGGUAGUAAAGGAAGGGAAAAAAAGUAAAAAGCUUAUUUGGCCUUUUAUAUAGAGAUACGGAGAUAUGGCUUUAAAAGCAAACAUAACUAAUAAAAUAAUAAUUUAGUAUUAAAUAGUCUAUUAUUUAUUAUAUUUAAAAAAAAAAUUUUGCAGGGGCCGGGCCCCUGCUGGCCUCCCCUUGGUUCUGCCGCUGCUGUGGUUGCUCAUAUAAUGGUCACUGCAGGUUUACAUGGUCGUUAACUUUAGGGCAUGUGAGAUUAGUCGAGAUAUGCGCAAGUUGGCCCGAACAUCCACAUUAAUAAAAAAAAAUUCAAAGAUUAUUCAUUUCAAAUGAGAAAAAAAAAAAUCAUAACGAGCGAAUCUUGUGAAUAAAUUACCGUAUUUGGACGCAACGAAACCGAGAAAAAACAAAGGUAAAGUCUAGACAAGAGCGCGCGCAUAAACUAUUUAUUGAUGAGCUUGUUCGUAUCAACAUAAAUAAAUAUCAAAGUAAUCCAAGCAAACUUUUGCAGAUUACGAAGAAUCUAAGUCGACAAAAAAGCUUUCAAUCAAAGUGUAUAUUUGAUAUAGAUUCAGUUUAGUAAAAAUUGUUUUUUAAUAUUUUAUUUUUAUUUUUAAAAAUUUAUUUUUAACAUGAAAAGCAUAUAAAAACAUUAUAAAAGAUUGAAAAAUUACAGUAAACCAUAUAACUUUUUGAAAGAUUUUGUACACGAAACCCUUGCUUAAUGACCGUGUAAAAUCAACACCCUUGGACGGUACUUUUGCUACAGUUUUUUGGAUAGUUCAAACUCAUUUAAAGUAUUUUUAGUUGGAUGUUCAUAUAGGUGAAAACAAAAGGAUUACUGUUACCUAACAUGAAGUCGAAUGAAGGUUGACAAAGUCAAAGACAGCGAUCAGACACGCAAAAAUGCAAUGAAUCAGCAUGUUCUGGACUUCCCACAGAUACACCUGUUUUCUACCACACUGAUUUUGGGACCCAUUAUAUCUGAAAAUGUCUUCAACAAAGCAUCUUCUCCUUCUUUCUUUUUCUUUUUUUUUUUAAAAUCUUUUGAUAUGCAUAUUAAUUCAACAUUACAUAAGGGCUAAGGUUUUUGUGAAUAAGGGGCUAUUCACACAAAAGAAUAAAAAGCCAUGAACAAAUGUGCAGCAGACAUCCAUCAAUGCAAGAAGUGCCCAUUUUCAAGAACUCUAAGCAACUCCUGAAUCAUUAUAAGAAGCACAAUACUGUCCAGUUGUUCUCAUGAAAUUAUUUUCCUCUAACCUCAUUAACAAUUCAUUGAGAAUCCCAAUAACUGAUUCAGUCACUUAAAAACCUGAACAAAACCCUCAAAUAUCAAAUCUUUAUAUGUUUCAAUAUCUAAAAAGAAGAAAAAACAACCAAAUUUUCGAACUUUUUCCCUCUAUUUAAAAAAGGGGGAAAAAAAAGCAAUAUAGGCCAUCGAUUUCUUUUCCUUUUUUUGUUACAUGGAGAGCAGGUAGAUCUCAUUAAGGCAAAUAAUUCAUCAAUUAGGAGGUGAUGCCACCUAACUCGGCAUUUGACGCAACACUGAUGAAUUAUAGAAAAAGUGAUGUGGCAGAGGUAAUAGAAAUUAAGGGUUUUGAGCAAUUUUUCAGAGCUAAAUAGAGAUUUAUCACAAACAAAUUUUAUUAGUAAAUGCUUUUAUAAACAAGUGAGAUAAGGCUAAAUCUAAAAGAAUGCUUGAUGAAUCACACCAAACUAGCAAAAUGAUAAUAAAAUAUCAUAAUUUUUUAUCUUACUAUUGAAUUAGACUAAAAUUUCUAUAGAUUAUUUCUAAGGCUUAGUUUUAUAAGUUGCUGCGCUUGCGGCAACCAUAUAUUCGAGUCCUGGAAGACCUCAAAUCAUGCCUCAAUGAUACUGUUUGAUUCAAUUUUAUUAUUUUUCCUUGAUUUAUUUUGGAUUUUACAUUAUUUUUGAAUUUUUAGCUAUCUUUCUGUUUUGUUUUAGGAUAAUAAUUUUUCUUACUAUGUUAAGGUUACUUUCACGCCUAUAUAAAGACUUGUAAAUAUCUAGAGAGACAAAAGUUAUCAAUUCAUUAUUUCAGAAAUAAAAAUAAGAUCUUAGGAGUUAGGAUUCUUCGUGUUUUAAUCUUAUUUUGGCUAAUUCUUUAUCUUUAUGUGCUUAUUGAUUGUUAUCCUUGCAGGGCUUUCGACUAUAUCAAAAAGUCUACCCAUAAUUUUCAUUAAUUGUAUUUAAGAAUGGAGUUAUAGUUUGACUCACGGUGAUGAGGGAUGAAUGUUCAAUUUUGAAAACAUGACCUUUGAGUUUUAGAUAAUUAGACUCGGUUAAGAGGGUGGUGGCUAAGUUUUUUUUUUUAAAAAAAAAAUCAAUGUAAAAUUUAUAAUAUUUAAUAUAAGAGCUUUAUAAUUAUUAGUUUGAAAAUAAUAAUAAUUUUGUAAAUUAUUAGAUGUUUUUUGUUGAUAUUUUUUAAAAUAAUAAUAAUUUUAUAAAUUAUUACGUGUGUUAGGGAGGACAUAAACUGUCAUCAUACACUAUAAUUUCUGAAAAAAUAAAGAUAAAAUAACUAAACUACACAAUGAUCAAGUAAUUUCUCCUUUUAAAAAAAAUAUCAUAGAAACUUUUUAUUGUAUCUAAAAUGUCCUUAUUUACUUUUUGAAAAAGAUAGUCAUAGGAAAAACUUAAAAGAUUAGAGAAAUAAACAUGAUUAUUUAAUUUAAUUUUGUUUUUGAGUUUAUUUUCUUAAAAAUAUUUCUAUAAAUUCUUAUUAUUUUCAUUUUAACUAUUUUUAUCUAGACAAUAAUUAAGGGCGUUAUAUGUAUUAGAAUAUGUCCUAUAAAAUCGCCAAAUUUUUAAAUAAUUCUUACAAUUUUACAGUACUUCGCACGAUUUUUGUGAUUCACCUUAGAACUUUUGCAUGCACAUAUUAAUGCACGGUUUAUGGUGUUUUUUUCACGGUCAGUUUUAAAAUUUUGUUGGAAAGUUCUUGGAACGCAAAAAUAUUUAUAUAUGUUAAAUGAUAUGGACUUGAUAAUUCAUUAAAAAAUAUGAAUCACUCAAUUGUGUGGCCCUGCUCUUGACAGGAAGAUCCGUAAGAAAAUCAUUGGAAACUUACCGGUACGAGUUCUUGACCUCAAGAAACCGGAAAAAAUUCGAAGUCAUUGGAAUAAAUAGAAACAAAAGGGCUUUGGAAGUUGGUUACUAAGAUACUAGAAGAAGAAGAAAUAUUGGGCUUGGCUGGAUCUUGUGCCUCUUUAACCAACACUUACCACACGGUUUGUUUCGUCUAGAUUCGUGAAAUACUCGUAGAAAUUUGGUGUUUUCUGAUUUCUAAGUAGAAUUGUACUUGUUCCAGCUUGAAAUUACUAGUUGGUAGAUUUAAUUGCCAAAUUUCUUGAUCUUACCUUCUGUUUCAUGUUUGACCACAGGAGCAGGCCUUAUACAAAAUAGCGUGGAAAGCAAUUGCUGAACCAAGCGAGCAAGUUGAGGCCAGAAGGGAUCGGUACUAGUUUAUCGCUAUAGGGAUUUUCAUGGCUUCCACCAGCGUGCAAGGAAUAACCUCAUCUUCAUCUUCUUCUUCUUCUUCUCCUCCACUAUAUAUGUAUGAUGUGUUCCUUAGUUAUAGAGGCAAAGACACCCGGAACAACUUUACUAGUCAUCUAUAUUAUAAUCUGGCACAGAGAGGCAUCGAUGUGUACAUGGAUGAUAGGGGGCUCGAGAGAGGAAAGACCAUCGAACUUGCUCUCUGGAAGGCCAUUGAAGAAUCAAGGUUUUCAGUCAUUAUAUUUUCAAGAGAUUACGCUUCUUCACCAUGGUGCUUGGAUGAACUUGUCAAGAUUGUUCAAUGCAUGAAAGAGAAGGGUCACACUGUUCUGCCAGUUUUUUAUAAUGUGGAUCCCUCAGAGACAUAUGAGAAAGCCUUCGUUGAGCAUGAACAAAAUUUCAAGGAAAACUUGGAGAAGGUCCGGAACUGGAAAGAUUGUCUCUCUACGGUGGCCAAUCUAUCUGGCUGGGACGUCCGGAAUAGGUAAAUCAUCUAUCUACUUAUUCUUAUUCUCAAAUCUGCCCUGUAUUGUUUCGUUGAUGAACAAGCAUAAUAGUAAAUGUGUAUUUUUCAUAUGCAUGAAUUUUUAUUUUUAUUUUUUUAUGAUAUUUUGAACUGAUGUGAUCAAGCAUUUCUAAUCUUUAUAUAAAACUUCUUUCUAUUCUUAGGUUUUUCUAUAUAUUUUGAAAAUAAAAUAAAAUAUUAAACAGAAAAAUUAAAAUGAAUAAAAAUGUUGAAAAACAAAUCUAGCAUGAACAAAUAAAAAAGUUAGGUAAAAAAUUAAAAAUUGUGAAGAAAUAACAACAAAUUCAUCAUAAGAAAUAAAAAAUUGACCAAAGUUUUUGAAUAUGUUAGUUUUAUAGCUUUUCAAAAUAAAAUAAAAAGAUUUUCCAUCUUGAAUUAAAAAAUUCAAACUAUUUAUAAAUCAAAGAGACAAAUUUAUUUAUAAUUUGUUUUGUGAAUAUUUUUAUUUUUUUAUUUGGAAUUAAAAUUUGAUAGGUGUCUUUCUUUCACUAAUGGAUUGUAACAAUGAAUUUACUAAUUUUUCUGCCUUAUUUUAUAGAACACACAAGCGAAUAAGUUGUUCUGCCUUAUUUAAGCAGCAUGAGCAAUGACUUAUGACACCCAAAAAAGAUCUUCAUUGAUGUUUUCUCAUUCACCACGACAUGAGCUACCUCCCGGAGUGGCAUGUGUGGAGUAAUUAUUUUUGGUUUGGCACCAAAAUGACUUUCUUUUUUUUUCUUUUCUUGUCUUUUUCCUUGAAUACCGCACCCGACCUUCUAAACUUGUAUAGUAACUCUUCAAUUUGGAUAUCAACUAUGUUAAUCUGGGAAAAAAGAAAGACUACUAUGGAAAGAAAUCCGAAAAUAAGUUGUUUUUUAAAAAGUUUACUAUGCAAGAUAGUUGAAAUUUUUGUUAAAAAUAAUUAUAAAAUUAACUUAGUGUUCGACAAAAAAUAUGAUAGAACUCCAUUUGCUUUUUUGGCCAGUUAAAACCAAACUUAAUGAAUAUUUUAUUUCCUAGCUGUUGUUGUAUGCUUGCUUCUGUAGUAUCUGUGUGAUUUUAUAGGCAAUAAGAUAGCUAUUGUACGGAUCAUUCUUAGCAUUAAUACAAUCCUAGUUUCGUUUUCAGUUUAUUCUUUCCUUUUCCUCUCUGUUCUUGAAUCUAUCUAUUAUCAGGGCCCUAUUUUUCUCAAAGGUUGGUGUAUUAAUUUCCGGCUAACAGCCAUACAUUUUCGAGCUACAAUAUGCUAAUGUCUAUUUUCACAUUAUCACUAUCUGAUUUGAUUUCUGCACACUGCAUGAUUAAUGUUUUGCACCCUUCUAUGCAGGAAUGAAUCGGAAUCAAUUAAAAUAAUUGCUGAAUACAUAUCGUACAAACUAAGCGUCACUCUACCAACAAUUAGCAAAAAAUUAGUUGGAAUAGAUUAUCGUGUAAAGGUAUUAAAUGGCUAUAUAGGUGAAGAAGUAGGCAAAGCAAUCUUCAUAGGGAUUUGCGGAAUGGGUGGCAUAGGUAAGACGACUGUUGCAAGGGUAUUAUAUGAUAGGAUUCGUUGGCAAUUUGAAGGCAGCUGCUUCUUAGCAAAUGUCAGGGAUGUUUUUGCUGAGAAAGGUGGACCACGCCGUUUACAGGAACAACUUCUUUCUGAAAUCUUAAUGGAACGUGCUUCUGUAUGUGAUUCUUAUAGAGGGAUUGAGAUGAUAAAGCGGAGGUUACGACUUAAAAAGAUUCUUCUUAUCCUUGAUGAUGUAAAUGACAAAAAACAACUAGAAUUUUUGGCUGCAGAGCCUGGAUGGUUUGGUCCAGGGAGCAGAAUUAUCAUAACAAGCAGAGAUAAAAAUGUGUUUACUGGAAAUGAUGAUACUAAAAUUUAUGAGGCUGAGAAAUUGAAUGAUGAUGAUGCUCUUAUGUUAUUCAGCCAGAAAGCUUUCAAAAAUGAUCAACCUGCUGAAGAUUUUGUGAAACUAUCUAAGCAAGUUGUGGGUUAUGCUAAUGGCCUUCCACUGGCUCUUGAAGUUAUAGGUUCGUUUUUGUAUGGAAGAAGAAUCCCUGAAUGGAGAGGUGCGAUUAAUAGAAUGAAUGAGAUUCCUGACGAUGAAAUUAUUAAAGUGCUUCUCGUUAGUUUUGAUGGCCUCCAUGAAUUAGAGAAGAAAAUAUUUUUAGACAUUGCCUGUUUCCUUAAGGGAUUUAAAAUUGAUCGAAUAACAAGGAUACUUGACGGGUGGCGUGGAUUCCAUACAGGUAUUGGAAUACCAGUUCUUAUUGAGAGAUCUCUCAUAAGUGUCUCUCGGGAUCAAGUCUGGAUGCAUAAUUUAUUACAGAAAAUGGGUCAGGAAAUUAUUCGUCGUGAAUCCCCUGAUGAGCCUGGAAGGCGCAGUAGAUUGUGGACAUACGAGGAUGUCUGCCUUGCACUUAUGGACAACACAGUGAGUAGCUGAUAGAGAACAUUAUCCAUAAGAUUUCAUGAAGUUUAUUUUAAUUUAUGCUACAAAUAUCUAUUUGUUUUUUACUUGUAUUCCCUUUUGGUUGACAGGGAAAAGAAAAAAUAGAAGCCAUUUUCUUGGACAUGCCUGGAAUAAAAGAGGCACAAUGGAACAUGGAAGCCUUCUCUAAAAUGAGCAGACUAAGAUUGCUCAAAAUCGACAACGUGCAGCUUUCUGAAGGACCUGAAGAUCUUUCCAACGAGUUACGAUUUCUUGAAUGGCAUUCUUACCCUUCAAAAUCAUUGCCAGCUGGUUUACAGGUGGAUGAGCUAGUUGAACUUCACAUGGCUAACAGUAGUAUUGAGCAAUUAUGGUAUGGGUGUAAGGUGAGAUCACCUAAUUUAAGGGCCUUUGUAUUUCUUUUUAUCGUUUUCUAUAUAUUUAUGAUAGUAGCAUCCAUAUUUCUUCUCCCCUGCCUGAUUGCAGAGUGCAGUUAAUUUGAAAAUCAUCAAUCUCAGCAACUCUCUAAACCUGAUCAAGACUCCAGAUUUUACAGGAAUUCCGAAUCUCGAGAACCUAAUUCUUGAAGGUUGUACAAGUUUGUUUGAGGUCCAUCCAUCACUUGCACGUCACAAGAAGCUUCAAUAUGUGAAUCUUACGGAUUGCGUAAGUAUU